GUGGUGGCCAUGGAAGUAGGCGAUCUGUUUAUGAUUUGUUGGGUUGUGCAGGUGGUGGUCCGGCGGUGAAGAUCGGCGGUGGCGCUUACGAUUGCUGCGUGGUGGUCGGUGAUGGAGAUAACACUGUUGCGGCGGCUAGGGUUUGGCAAGGGAAUUAGGGUUUCUGUUGAAGAUGGUGAUGGCGUGGCAUGAGGGAGUUAGGUGGCAUGUUCUGAGUUGUUGGAUCUAUUAGUGGUGGAUUGCCACAUGGCAAAAUCUGAUGAAGUCUGACUUAGGAAUGGUUGGAGGGUGUGUGUGUAUAGUGAAUUGGGGGGUGUAGGCCAAAAGGGUUUCUGUUGGGCUUUAGUUGUUGGCCUGGUUUAAAACUGAGGGGUGCAUGUAGGGAAAUCUGGGGGUGCAAGAGUAAAAACUGACUGUUUGGCCCAUCUGUACAUUAUUUAUCAAAUAAAAUCUGAUUUUGGGCUUUAAAUUACAAUUUGGACCAAUAAAACUCUAACUUCAGCUGCACAAAUAAAUAUUAGAACAUCCAAUAAUAAUUUAUGCAAUUAAAAUCACUUUUAAAACCCUUUUUAUUUCCAAACACGCUAAAUCUAAUAAUCACAAAUCCUCUACAAAUCAAUCGUGUAAGCACAAAUAUUCUAUCAAAAAUUUUAAUUUUAAAGCAUAAAUGUGGACAUAAAUAUGCACUCAUCACCUACGAAUCUUGUCGCUCUACUUUGUACCAAUAAAAUUUGUAAUAUCAUUUGAUCCCACAUAACAACACGAGUUAUACGAUCAUCACACAACACAAGCAAGCAAAGUUAAACUAACAAAAACAACAUUAUAUGAUAUACAUAAGAUAUAUGAAGUACAAAGGAAAACAUUAGAGGGGGUGAAUAAAACAUUAUUUUGCAAUGUAGCGUCUAAUGGUUUCAUAAAACUAUAUUUAGAAGUAAGUUAUGUCUAGAUGUUGGGUGAGUAAGGUAAGUGAAUAAAUAUUCUUUCAGAAGAUGACAUAGAAAAUUUAACAAUAGUUUUAAACGAAGAGAAUAAUAAGGCACAAUAUUUGUACAGGUUCACUUAAAUUUGAGCCACGUCCAAUUCUCUCUUAAGAACACUUAAUAGGUUCCAUUAAUCUUUUAAAGAUUAUAACUAGUUUAACACACUCCUAAUUGAUUAUUCUUACUGAAAUACCUGGAAAACACUAAACGUUGGGGGAGGGGGGUUGAAUAGUGUUAUAGAAAAACUUUUUGCCAAAAAAUGUAGUUAACAACCUUGUUAAAGAUUAAACGAUUUAUAUAAGUUGUUAGACACUUGAUUUAGAAAGUUUUGUUCGACUGCAAGCUCUCAAAUAAAUAAUUUUCAAUUGUUUAGUCAAAUUUGUUGUAGUGUUUUGAGAAAGAUAACUUUUAAUAAAAAUAGUGCUUGGUGAUAAGAGCUCUUAUAAACGAUUGACAGAAAAAACAACAACGAAAAAUUAUGUAAGGAAAGCGUUUAGCAAGAAGGAAUAAAAACACAAUUAUUUUAUAUUGGUUCACUCCACCAAGCUAUAUCCAGUUCUCCUCUAAGACCUCUUAGAGGGUUCCACUAUAAUCAUCAACAAGAUUAUAACUGAGUGUUCGCACCACUCUUGGUAUCACCUAGUCAAUCCCAGUAACCCCGUUACUCUGACUAGAACCCAGUUCAUUCAUUCCUAGUUAUGCAUUAUUCUUCAUCACUCCUAGUAUCUCUAGACAAUUCCGGUAUCUUCCGAUAUGAUGUCUAGUUGAAUUUCACCUACUUAUAGUUUCUACUAGACAAACCCAUCUAGCUACCAUUUAACUGCAUCGAAUUAAGCGUUAAGUGUUUGAUCCUCUUUAGGAUAUUCAAUAAUCAAUCAUAUUUUUUACAAGUCCUUAGACGAUUACUCUCACAGAAAUAAUGUGUACACAAUAUAAUUCAAUCUAAUAGACUCUUAGAGUUUUCUUUCUUCUUAAAAUAGUAUGCUUUUUAUGAUUCUAUGAAGCUUGAUAGUAUUUUCUUUAAUUUUGAGUUUUCUUUUCUUCCUAAAUGUUAUCUUUUGUAUUUGUGUGCUUAUUCUCUUGCUCUUUUCUUCAACGUUCUUACAUUUAUAGGCUUCUUCAAAAUGUUUUUUAGAUAGUACUUGCUUUGAUCUUUGGGUCUUCUUAGCCUUGUUGUCAGAGUAGACAUGUUUUUUCAGUACUUUAUCAAAAGUAGGUUGUACGAACUCUUGGACGUGACUUUUGAUAGAGAGAACAUUUUGUGAAUGUUUUAUUUGUCUCUAAUGUCCACUUGUGACUUGUAUAUGAUAGCGCAAGUGGAUACUUGACAAAGGUAAUAUGCAAAUAGUAUAGUAGAUAUGCACGCAAACAUAUAUGUCAUUUUUCUUAUUACUUUUGUUGUUUUGAAAUGUUGUGCAUUUAAUUUUUUUAAUGUGUGCUUAGAACAAUUCUAGGCUUUUAAAUUAUCUAUUGGUCAAGCAAGAUGUGAUUCAUUUAAGCAUUUCUGUAGAGAUACCAAGUAAUUCAUAACGAUUUCAUCGUUGGAUGAAAACGUCGUUUGGUACAAGGUAUCUUUUGGCCUAUAUAGGACGUUUACCAACCACGCUUUGUUUAGUGAUCUUAGUUUGGUUUAAAAGCGCAUUUAAUAAAAUGUCUUUCAACACAUGUUUUUGGAACAAUGUUUAUAUCUUUAAGCGUGUUUACCAAAAACAUCAUUUUGUACAUUAUAAUGAGAGUUUUCUAGUAUUGUUUAGCAAAGUAUAACAUGAGCACGUUUAACAAGACUCUCAUAUAGCACAUUGACUAAUUUUGUGAGAAAAUCGAUUGGUAGUGAGUCCACAAAAAUAUUAGUGCGUUUACUAAAGCUUUUCUUAAAACAUUUAGAUUUCAUACAGCUUUUUCACAAAAUGCUUAUCUUCCAACUAUAUUAUUUUCCCAAAGAUAACACUUUGUCAUAUGCUCAUUCCGUUUAUUGUUGUUUUUUAAACUUUAAAACAUAUGAAGACGUUAGAUGAUUCAGUCUUAUCGACAAUCUUGUCUUAACAUAAGCUAUAUAGAAAAAUUUGUCGUUGUCUCUCAUCAUAAUUCAUAUUCCUCUUUCACUAUCCAAAAACAAGGUAAAUCGAUGUUCACCCCACAUUCAAAAGAGGUUCUCAAUGCAACAACCACCAUACAUCUCCAUCGCAACACGGAUCAAAUUUCACAAUGCAAAACCACAUGUAGCUACAAAUGAUGUCUCUCUUUUUUGCAAAUCUGAAACCGUGAGAAACCAUGAGCACAAUUGUGUGGGUCAUCUUAAAAGGAAAAGCCAAAUCAAAAAGGUUUCAAAUUCAAAUAGUUAUAGCGGCAACGAUGGAGAAUGAUGGUCAAACAUGGUAGAUCUUGUUUUUGAGGAAACUAAAAGGAGUCAGCGAACUCAAUCAGCGAUUGUCCCAACUUCUCCAUGCUCUACAUCUCCUCCAACAACCCCACAUUGCCUUUCUUUUCCUUCUUCUUCCACUCCUCUGUGAUCUUCUCUUACAGCCAGAUCAAGAGUUGGGCACAAUUUAAUUGCCUCAACAGGGGAUAGUGCGUUCCCAACCCAUUCCUCUCUUGACAUGGAACCAUUGCCACAAAAGCCCACAUCAUGAACAUUUUGCGCUACGAGGAACCACCAUAAGGUUUGUAUACAAUUCUUGUUGUUCAAGUUGGAGUUGAUCCCAUCAUUGUAAACGUCGAGGAAUUUGAUGAAGUGGUUGGUGAGCUCUAGGAGCGACAACUUGGUAAUUUAGAAGGCCCAACACAAUAGCUUUGAACUCUGCCUCGAUGUAGAGGAGCUUGUAGAUGAGGUUGCAAAGCCAUGAGGUGGAGAGUAGAUGUUGAUAAUGUAAUCUCCUCCAAUUAUCUUCUAAACAAACAAAUAUCUUCAAGAUAUAUUUGAUUGCUGUGGAAUCUAAAAAUAUUUUAGAAGAUAUUUGAUAGAUUAAAAACGAUUUGGCAAAUAUUAUCUUUUGAUAUUUUUUGAUAUAGUUAAAUAAGGUAAUUAUUUAGCAAUAUCAAACAAAAUAUUUUAAGAUAUAUUUUCCCCAAAUUAUCUUUUAUCAUAAAAAAAAUUAUCAAUUAUCAAAUCCCUUUUUGUGGAUAAAAUAGAGAAAAUUGCAAGGUCCAAAUUUUGUUGCAUAACCCUCUUCUUGGCUUAGCUAAUUUUCUUCAAUUUUUCAUGCUUUUCUUGCCUUCUUCAUGUAAUGCUUAGCUUGACUUCUUGUCAUCUUAAUUAUUUGUUAUUUUUGGAUUUAUAUUUAAGGUGUCAUAAAAUUUUAACCAAUUUAUUUUCAUACCUCCAUGAGCUCAAUUUAGCUACAAAAUAUCCAAAAAAACACUUAUGCGACUAAAAAGCUAUUUUUAUCAUGUUUUUGUAUCUCAUGCGCAAGAAACCAAAUUAUAACAAGUCCUAAUUAAAAUAUUCUUUUAAAGUAUAAAACCAAUUAAGAAUCCAAGAUUAAAGGGUAAACGAGAACAUAAAUAUGCAGUCAUCAAAAUAUCUACGAGAGAUGAAUUGAGAACAACUUUCUAUAUCGAUUAUAAUUAAUCGGUAUAGAAAGUUUUCUUAUUUAUUAAAAGAAUGUCAUCACGUCCAUGUUUUAUACCAGUUAUAGGUUAUAAUUGUAUAGAAAAUUUUCUUCUUUAUUAUAAAAAUAUCAUUGGUCCACUUUCUACACCUAUUAUAACUAUAAUUAAUAUAAAACGUGUUAUCUUGUUUACUAUAAUGUCAUCGUCCCAAUUUUUAUAACUAGUGGAUUAUAACUGAUAUAAAUAGUAGUUCUAAAAAAUAUUUUUUGCACUAGUUAGUGUUGUUAAAAUGGGUUAGAACUCGCAUACCAAUGGCCCAUCACGGGUUCGAGCCGGGUUGAGUUUGAAAAAAAUGAAAUUUUUUUAUGUGGACCAAUUUUUAACCUGGCUCACCUAGGUUAAAUCCGUGGUGAGCCAGGUUGAACCUGUGGUGAGCCGAGUUGGCUCACCAACCCACCUAGUUUAAUUUAAUUAUUUAUUAUUUAUUAUUUUGUGUUUCAAUAUUAUUAGUUAGCAUUUUUUUAUUGUAUUGUAAAUGGGAAUAAAGAAAAAUAUGUUUCAAGAGAGCAAAAUAUUUUAAGUUUAUCAAUUCAAGACUAUAUAAUCUUAUAAAUGGAUAAGUGACAUAAAAAUUAUCAAUAUUAUAAACUUAUUUAUUCGCCUUUUAGAUUUGUUUUUGAAUUACAUUUUAGUUGUAUGCUAAUUUUUUUAUUUUGAAUUGUCUUUGGAGUUUAACAUUAUUUUAGAGUGAAAUUAUUUAAAUUUGAAGUACAAAAAAAAUUGUAUUUUUUUUAUUUAAAAAAAACUUUAAUUAAGUGAGUCAAUGAGUCAACUUGUUUAACUCAUCAACCUUUGGCGGGUCGGAUCAAGUUCGAAUUUUUUUGGCUCGUUAAUAAAUGAAUUGGGUUGAGUUGAUAAUCCGUUUAUAAUCCUCUCAAAUCCACUCAAUUACUCUCCCUCAAUUCCACUCAAAUGAACAACACAUAAAUAACCUAACCGGUAUCAGACCGAGUUGGUUCAAAUAACCCGUUUUAACAAUACUAACACUUAUAUAAAUUAAAUAUUUCCAAUGUUUGAACCUUUGAGGCGCCUAUGGAAGAGAAAAUUCACUUAUAAAAACUCUUUAACGUUUAACUGAGCAAGAAUAGACGAAUAAUAUAAAAACUUAAAAUGAUUAUUAGUAUUGAAUAACUACUUCUUGUAAAAUAAUUUAUUUAUUGACAUUUUAAAUCAAUGGAUAUAGAAUAUAUUAUCAGUUCUAUUAAUAUAUUUGCAAAUAAUAUCUGAUAAAUAAAUUAUAAUUUCACGUCUUCCUAAUAUUUCAGUUAUUAUAAUGAGCCUUCCAUUAUUUGGUCUCUUAAAAGGUAGUAACCAGCUUUUAGGCUAAAGAUAUUGGACUGCUUUUAAACCGAGGAUAUACAACAAAUGCUAGAAUUACGAGUUAAUAAUCAAAAAGAUUUUCUAACAUUAUGGAUUCAAUUCUAAUAGAUUGUUAACUUAUUAAUAUACAUUCUAAAACUUAGAUCCAAGAUUAAAUUAUUUUAAGCAUAUGUGAUAUAUAUCUCCCAUUUGAUAAUCAAAAGCCAUAAAGAUUUCUAAAAGAGAUACGUAUCUACUAAAUGUUUUCUUCAAAAAAUUAAAUUCCUUUAAUGUAAAAAUAUAUAUUAAAUUCGAUUGAUUAUUGCAUAGUUAAUGUUAUCGUGUUAAACUUUUAUAAAUAAAAAUAUUAGAAAGUGCUAUCUAUCAAUUGUUUGCCAUGAAAUUAAAAUUUUCUUCUUAACAAAAAUUAAAUAGAGUAUAAAGAAAAAUUUAAUGUCUAAUUUUUUUCAUUGUAAUAAAAUACAUCUUUUCUAAUCUUAGAUCACUAUCAUUUGUGUAACUUAUAUUUUGUAAUAUAAAAUUAUACUAAACUUAAUCAAGGUACCAACCAAGUAUUAUGAAAUUGUUCGAGUCUAAUAUUUAACAUUUGAUUCAAAAAUACUGUACAAUAGCUUUCAUUAACUAUAAUCAAAUUCUCUCAAAUUAUAGAGAUCAGAUGUUGAAGUAUAACUACUAUAGAAUGAUAGAAUUCUAAAAUUACAAAUAUAAAGAUCCAUGUUUAUCAAUUUUAUUUAAAAUGAAUUAGUUAAAAUAUGUGAGUAUACAGCUUUUUUAUUUUAAUGUUAUUAGUUUAAAGUUUUGGUUCUCCAUUAAUUGCUCCCCAGAAUUUUGGAUUUAGUGGGAUAGAUACUAAUAAAGGAAGGGUUAAAUAUAUUUUUGGUUUCUUAACUUUUAGUGAAAAUUGAAAUUAGUCUCUUUUCAAAACUUUGAUUUAAUUUAGUCCCACAAUUAUAAAGAUGUAUUUUAAUUAAAAUAAUUUAUGCAUAAAAAUUGAUUAAAUUUAAUAACAGUAAUAAUUUAUUUUUAAUAUAAAUAAAACUGUUGGAUAAUAAUAAAAUCAUUAAUUAUAAUAAUAAUAUCACUUUAAUUUCUCAAGGAUAUUUAAAUAAUUUUCAUUCUCAAAACUAAAAAAAGAAAAUCCAAAACCCUUACUCACCUCCCUCAUUCCUCUCAACCCUUUCUCUUUCAUCUCUCUCACUCCAACAUUUUCUCUGUCAUCCUUGUUGCCCCAAUUGAAAAAAAAAAUCAUAAACCUUUGCCUAACCCUAAUUCACCUUCCUCACUUAUCCAAUUUGUUGUAAUUUGUUGCUCUUGCUCUGUUCGUUCAUUUGGAGGAUGUGUUAUAUAUUUUCCUUUCUUAUUAUUAUUAAAUUUCAUUUUUAAAUUAAAUCAUGUAAAUAAAACCUUCAUAAAUCAAUUAAAUUUUCAUACAUUAUUUACACAUCUACACCACAUUUCAUUAUAUUUUUAAAGAAAAAGAUAUUUCCCUCUAUUGUCCCUUUCCCUUUACACAGAGUGUUUCUUUUUCCUUUUUGUAUUGGUAUGGGAUACAUGAUGUAAGAUUACAAUCUAGAAUUGAAAGAAUUGUACUCCUAGGGAGCUCUUCUAUACCUAUUUCUUUAAUUUCCUUAUGUCCCUUUUUUAUCACUGAAUCAACUUCUACUGGCAUUAAACUUUAACCAGUGUGCAAGAUAACAAACAGUAAAAUCAUUUUUUACCUUUGAAAUUUGGAAAGAGUAACAUAAUAAAGUGAAAAAGUUUAUAUUCAUUUUACACACAUUAAUAAAUAUAAAAUGAUUAUAAAAGAGUAAACUUUUUCAACUUUUAACAAAUAUCUCCAAUUCAAAUUAUCACCAUCUUCAAUUGGGUUGAGAUGAGAAAAAAAAUGUUGGAGUGAUGACAAAGAAAAUGUUGAGAUGAGAGAGAAAAUAUGUCUGAUGACAAAGGGUUUCUGAUUUUUUUUUUUCAAUUGGGGCAACCGUAGGGAUGACAGAGAAAAUGUUGGAGUAAGAGAGAUGAUAGAGAAAAUGUUGGAGUGAGAGAGAUCAAAGAGAAAGGGUUAAGAGGAAUGAGGGACGUGAGUAAGAGUUUGGGUUUUUUUUUUUUNNUUUUGAGAAUGAAAAUUAUUUAAAUAUCCUUGACCUUAAAACUUAGAAUCCAUGAUAAAUGAGGGUAAUUUUGUCUACUAUAAUCCGGUACGUUUUAACAAUGUGUACCGCAUUAUAAUAGACGGGUUCUAAGGAUAUUUAAAUAAUUUGAUUCUCAAAACUAAAAAAAAAAAAAAAGAAACUCCCAAACCCUUAUUCACCUCUCUCAUUUCUCUCAAUCCUUUCUCUUUUAUCUCUCCCACUCCAACAUUUUCUCUAUCAUCCUAUGGUAGAUCUAAUCGAAAAAAAAAAAUUAAUUGGGACUACAAUAGAGAUGACGGAGAAAAGGUUGGAGUGAGAGAGAUGAAAGAGAAAGGAUUGAGAGGAAUGAGAGAUGUGAGUAAGGGUUUGGGGUUUCCUUUUUUUUAGAGCUUGUUUCUGAUUUUUUUUAAUUGGAGCUACAGUAGCGAUGACAAAGAGAAGGUUGGAGUGAGAGAGAUGAAAGAGAAAGGAUUAAGAGCAAUGAGAAAUGUGAGUAACGGUUUGGGUUUUUUUUUGUUAGUUUUGAGAAUGAAAAUUAUUUAAAUAUCCUUGACUUUAAAACUUAGAAUUCAUAAUAUAUGAAGGUAUUUUUGUCUAAUAUAAUCUGGUACACAUUGUUAAAAUGUACCAACUGAAAAACAGACGUANNNNNAACAAACCCAUAUAUAUAUAUAUAUAUAUAUAUAUAUAUAUAUAUAUAUAUAUAUAUAUAUAUAUAUAUAUAUAUAUAUAUAUAUAUAUAUAUAUUGUGUGUUUAUAUACAUAUUUUUUUUAUUCUAAACUCAAUUAAUUUUAUUUCAUUAUAGAAAAAAUUACUUACAACAAAAUUAUAAAAAUUAAUUUAUUAUAUAACUACUUUUGUGAAGAAGGUUUUCACAAUUUUAAAAAUAACUUUUUAUUGAGUUAUUAUAAUAAUUAAUCAUUUAUUACAAAAGAAGGUAGUAAAUAUAUGUAUUUCUAUUAGAACAUAUAAAAUAACUUAAUCAUAUUAAUAUAACUUUUAAACAUAAAACAUUUAAUAAGGUGUGGAUUUAAUCUAUAAAUUGUAGCUUUAUACUAUUAUAUUAUUUAUACAAUAAAAUUUAAUAAUAUAACUAAUAUUUUACUAAAUUUAAAAAAUAAUAUAUUACAUUUAUUAUCAUUUAUACAAUUUAUAAAAACAGAAACCGAAUGAUGUUAUAUUUAGAUAGAAGUUCAUGUGUAUAAUUUAUGUAAUAUAAAAUUUUAAUCAACUUUAAAACACGUGAUUUAAUUGAAUUGAAAAAUAUUCAUGAUAUAAAAAAUUUGGCGAUGUAUGAUAUAUGAAUCUUCCCCAUCCUAGAAAGUAAUGAUGAGAUAGAUGUAAUGGUACACUCUCUUUCUUUCUCAAUAGAGAGAGUGAAGACAAUAAAACAAACAAACAUACUAAACAUACACUUCAUAACAAAACAAUGACAGCUCCUACCAGUUGCUGCACCAGACAUAGUGUGUGUAUGUUUGAAUUUAAUGCAGAUGCCAUUUUCUUCUUACAGAGCAAUCAAUGCAUCAUUUUCCAUGUUAGGAUUCAAUAUAAGGUUUCUGUUCCCACGAAAAAGAUCCUUCUCUGUUCCUUUCCUUAACCAACUCCACCCCAUUUGUCUCUCUUUGGAUUCAGCACAAGCAAACAAGUACAUGUACAAAACCACAUUAUACCAUUACCUCAUCACUUCAUCAUCACCAUCAAAACAUAUAGUACUAUAAAGAUAUUUAAGCCAGACAAUGAAAAUAUAUAUUAUAAGUCUUUAUUUAUUUAAUCUGGACAGAGAAUUGGAUGAUGAUUAUAUAUACGAUAAAGAUACUUUCACAAUAUCUUUGAGCACAUUUUAUAUUUUAUAUAAUUUGUGUGAUCUUGUUAUUAUUAGUCCAUGUUGAUAUUUAUGAUUAUUAUUAUUUAUCUUAGAUUAAUUUUAGAUUCACAGGAGAAUGAGACGUAAUGUUUUUCAAAGUAUCAUUAUCCUUUUUUAUAUAUAUAUAUAUAUAUAUAUAUAUAUAUAUAUUUAUUGGUACGAACCUACUUCUUUGAACUAAAAGUUCCUCUAUUACUGUUUUUCUUUUUUUAAAUUUCAUGUUGAAAAAGAAAACAUUUAUAAACUAUUUUGACUCUAAAAUGGAAGAAGAUCCUAUUGUAGGAUUAAAGAAUUAGAGUAUCCAUGAUCGUCCUUUUUUUUUCACAGACAAGAACAUCUUUUGACAUCAAAACCUUAGCAAGUGUUGUGUUAGUGUUACCUCGGAACAAUUACAAAGACCUUUGUUGAAGAAAAUUGAUAUUAUUAGUCCUUUGGCGCUUAACAUUCCCUGAAGCUGAUUCAUCUCCAACACCACUCUUCUCCAUCACUGCCUUCAGUGCUUCUUGUAUUGAGGUAAUACAGUAUUGUUGUUGCUGCUGAAUGCUUUGCUCUCCAUUGGUGUUUGAACUUUCUUCGUCACCGGCAAUGACCAACACGUUCUUCACACGCCCACCAAGCGAUGUGAUCUCAGCCUUGAGGGUUCUGAGCUUCAAGGCCUUCAACGUUUUUAUGAGGUCGGGUAAGAGAUCUGACCUAUCUUCACAGCACAGUGAGGCUUUGAUCACAAACUUUCCAUCUUCGUCUGCUGCAUCUACUGUCAACUCGUCUGCCUCGGUUGGCACUGCACUGCUUUCUGCUAUCAGAGAGGUUUGGCGCUUCAGCUCCUUCACGUGCUGAAUCACUUCUGCUAGCAGCGAAGCUUUAUCUGUCUGCCACAACAAAAUCAAAACAACUUUUUUAUAAGAUUGAACUGCACAAAGCAAACAUCUUUUCUUUCCGGGUAAAUUGUGAAAUAUCAGUGACAUAUAAUGAACUUUUCUAACAGACUAAUACAUUAGAGGCUCACUAUAACAACUACUUUACUGGGUAAUGAGUGAAUAAGAGAAUAAAACUAAUUUUGUGGUUAAAAAUCACAGUUAAAGUGUAUAGAUAAUAUAUUUGUGGUUAUGAUAAAGUACAAAUUGGUAACAUAUUUUAGCAAUUUUUAGUUUAUUAAUGAAUAUUUUAAAGACACUAAUCAGUGCUAACAUUCUCUCAUGAUUAAUAGAAAAGGUUGGAAGUUGUGCAAUGUUUGAAAUGAGGUAGGUAGGGGUGUAGCUUGAUGAUUAUGAAAUGGAAGUAGUGGGGGUAUUUUGAAUGGUGGAAGUGGCAUGCAGCAUGUGUAGAUAGAGAGAAAGAUGAGAUGAGAUAGAUAGGUAUAUAGAAUAGUGAGUGAGUGGGUGCAUGUGUGUGUGCCUGAAAAGGGUGCUACUUUGUCUCUCUGGCUUUAUUUCUUUUUCAUUAUCGAGCUGAGUUUGACCGAUAACACUAUCCGGCAAGAAAUUUCCAUGUGUAGCUUUUUCAACUGCUGCUUGGUUCCUCUUUAUUGCAUCAACAACCUACCUUAACACUAAUACCUUUAUGUCAUCUUUAAUCACCCUUUUUACUAAUAAACUCGUCUGAAACAGUCAUACCAAAAAAAGUAAGCUAAAAACAAUAAACAUAUAUGUCAUGCUUGUUCUUUCAAACAUGUCUGUGUAAGUAUGUAUGAAAAUGUUGCUAUCGCUCUUCCUUUAAACAAAAUAAGAACAUGGAAAGCCAAAGAAAGCAGGUUAGUGAGAGAAACAAACAAGACCUUUUGCAUGCAACCUAUUUUUUAUAUGCCAUUUUGGUUUAAAACGCACCAUGUUGAAAAUUCUCCUAUUAUAUACUCUCGGUCUCUGAUCAGGAAGGCAUGUUAGGUGAUUUCAUACGAGGUUUUGUCAGUUUUGUUGUCCUUUUAAAUUAGAAAUGACAUGAUGAUGUCUUUUUUAGUUAGGAAUGACUCUAUUAAUCAAAAAACAGCAAUAAUAUUUGAAAAUCUGGGUUCGGUUACAAUUUCAUGCAUGUAUUUUUUUCUAUAUACGAACAAAUAGUUUAUGCAUGAUGUGUGAAAGGUCUUGCAAAGUCAAACAAUCACAUUAUAUAUAUGCUAAACUCGUUAUUUUAUAAUAACUAUUAUAGAAUUUAUAUUAGUUAAAAAUGGCUUAGUAAUUAAUAGUAUUAAAGAUCUUGUAUUGAAUACACUUACUUUGGUAGUGUUGGGCAAUAAACUACGAAGCUUGGCAAGAUGGUUGUUGAUUCUCUCUCUACGUCUUCUUUCUGCUUCACUGUGACUCUUUGAUGCAGCAAGAGCCUUAGCCUCCAUGAUUUCUUGAGCAGUCAUUUUUCCCAACUCGGCUUGGAGUCCAAAGGGUGCUGAACCGGGUUGAACCAUAGGUCCGAGGGUGUCAGAUAUGAUCCUUAGAUGGUGGUGAUCAGAAGAAGGACUCUCGUAUGCAAAUUGAAGAGAAGGGACCCUUCUGCUGAAGAAGCUCGCAUAGGGUGAAGGUGUGGGAGGGACUAUAAACGUUUGGUCAUGAUGGUCUCUGACAGGGUUGGUGUUAUUGUUGUAGUGAACCGGACCCGGGUUGAAUGAGUGAACAGGAGGCAUGGACCACGGUUGCAUGAUUGGAGUAACUUCAGGGAACAUUAACCCUCUUGAAUCCCCGAAGAUGUUGUCACUAUUUUGUUGCUGCUGCUGCUGCUGAUGCAUCUGUUGUUGAAGGAGAAGGUGCUCUUGGUAGCUUUGAAUAUCGUUGUUGUUAUUGUUGUUGAUUGGUUGAGAUGAACACUGUCCUUGAUCAUCUAAUUCCUUUUUCAUCUCCCUCUGAUGUGAAUCCAAACUCCAAAGCUUUAUAUAUAUGUGAUGGAGUGAACAGAGGAAGAUUUAAGGGUUCAAACGUCAGAAAGGUUAGGGUAUUUUCUGUUUUGUCUAAUAUGACCAGAAAAAAGGGAGCAAGAGCUGAAACAUAAAAGGGUAUCGAGAAGAAUAUUUCAUACUUUUUUCAUUUGCCCACAUGGACAUUGACAAGGAGAAAGAGCAAGAGGGAACUAAUUAAACUAUAAAAAGACACAAACCUUAAUCCCUUUGAUGCAGAAUCACUGACUGUGUUCUCUUCUAGUUCGGUCUUGUAAUAAUUCUAUCGAACAAUCAGUUACUUUCUUUGUUUCCUUUUGUUGUGGAGGUGCUGAAAUAAAAGGCCAAACGUUUGAAGCUUUAAUUCUCUCUCUCUCUCUCUAUCUAUCAAAUCUCUUUCACUUCUGCCACAAGGGUAUGUUAAUGAUCCCUUUUAUCCUUUACCUCCAAUAGAGCUUUCCUUUAUUUUGUGUUGGUGUCUUUUUGGACUUAUGUUUGGUCUUUGCUAUCUCUUCUUCUCUCUGAACUCUAAAAUAUAUAGAGCCUGUUUGAGUACUGCUAGUCCCCUUUCCUUUCUUCCUACGGCAUUAACUUUAUCUAUAUCAUUCCAUGUAGCUUUCAGGGCUGUCUGUGGAGUGGCAUCUUUCUAACACAGCAAAAACUACAAUAUAUAAUGUUUUACAGCCAUAAAAUAUAUAGUAUAAUCUCAUAAAGUAACACUAAUUUUUCGUUGCUUCCGAUUGGUUCAAAGUGUAUAAUUGCACUAGCUGUGUGAAAGAGAGAGAAACACAAGCAAGAACAACAGAGUUAACACAACAAAGAUUGUCGAUGGACCGACCAAGGACCAGAAAGGCUGAACAGUUAUCAUCAUGAUAAAAAAGCUUAGCUUAACCUUUUCUCUCUUUUUCAUUUUUUAAAUUUUGGGUUAGUAGUAGUACAAUUUUAUAGUAUAUAUAUUUCUCCAUUUUAUUUUAUUUUUGUUUUUUACUUCAUUUGGGGGGUCAUUUUUAUACUUUGCACUUUCCCUUUUGGCGUUUCCAUGGUCAAGCCCCACGUUCUUCCAUACUCUUAGCUAUGUGACUAUGUCCACGCCACCCUUUCUGCUUCCCCAACACCAUGUAAUCAUUGUGUCUUGGAACACACUCUUCCCCCUCUCUUCUCUCUCCUUGCUUCUCCUAAUAAGUGUCUUGGUUUCAGUUGAAACUAGGUCUGUAGUCUGUAGUGUGUAUGUUUAUGCAUAUUUAUAUGUGUGGUUCUCAUUACCCUAUCUCCUUUUGGGGGGUUAUAGCGAACUUGUUCAUAUACAUCAUCUAUAUUUUUCUAGUAGUGGAGUGGAUGUGGUCCACGAGUAAACGACAACACAGCAACAUAAAAUAAAGCACAGCUUAUAUGUUAAUGCUUUAAAUUUCUUUCACCUUUUGAUGUGGAAACUUUCAAUAGGAGAUAGUGGAUCAGCAUUACCUUCAUUUUACGUGGGCAUGCAGUAAUAUGUUUCUUCAACAUCGGUUACCCAAACUUCAAGUUUAAUCUAAAUUAAGCUUAGGAUCAUCAGGGUUUUGUCUUGCCAUUAUAAUCAUAGCAAGUCAUCAUUUUUAACAUCAACUAGGUUGAAAUUAUUCGUUUUAUUGGCCUCAGUCUUCACCCUUCAACUUGGUAAUCAUCAACUUGCAAAACCAUUCACCACCCUGUCAUCUUCUGUAAUAAUUUUUUCCCUCAAAAGAAAACGAACAAAGAAAUCGUUAUUCUAUAAAUAUGGAAAAUGGACGCAUACCUUUCCAUAUUUGUUGUUAUGCGCAAAUAUGAAAUAUAUAUAUAUAAAAAAAAAUCUGAUGCAAAAUGCAUAUUCUCUUAGAAUAAACAAUAAAAAAUGUGCAGGUCCAUAACAUACGUGACUUUAAUUUCUUGGCAACUUCUUGUCUUUGUAUUUUAAGUUAUCCGAGCUCACCACGAUGACGUUGAUGACUCAAUUAAUGUAAAAUUCUGAUGAAAAGAAUGUGGAUUUAUAAUAAUGUAAUGACAUUUUUGUUUAUUGGAAAGUGCCAAAAGAUAAUCUAAAAUUCUUAUGAAAAGAAUAGUUAUAAAAUGUUACAACUUGAAAAGGCCACACACAGAAGGAAAUAAUAGAUGUUUCGAAUUACUUUUGACAAGUGGCACAGUUUUCGAAACUCCGUAUCUAUCUAGCUAUAGCAUACUAUUGUAGUGUUACUUUUCUUUUGUUUUUGUCUCUCUUAACUUUUCUUUUCUAGUUUAAUUUAUUUUUUGUCUCUCUAGUUUCACACCUUUUCUUCUUCUCUUCUAAAUAUACUUACUGUUUACCUUAUGUUGUAGCAGUAGUAGCUGUUGUUGUGCUUCUCCCUGGUUGGUCCAAAAGAGGAUUACAUAAUAUGGUUUUGGUUAUCUUUUUAGUAGGACAUUGAUAUGGUAAGAAAAGUAAAGCAUGGUAAUUUAUUAGCCCAGGCUUAAAAGGCAAUUAGUCUCAUACCGUCACCGGCAAAGUCUGCAAGCAAAUUACACGGUUCCCAUAACCAGUUUGGCCAUCAGAAGUAAAAGUAAAAUGUAAAAUCAUUAAAGGCUACACACUUACGUUUACCUAUUCAAUGUUAAGGAGUUGGUGCUGUGGUUUAGAAUAUAUUUGCUCUCAUUUCUUUUAUAAUUACAAACAUUUAUUUAUUAUAAUAAUCGCAUUAUUCUUCAAAACAAGUUUUCAAGUCAUUAUUUGAAUGUGGAUUAUUCUUAGAAGGUUGGAUGGAACUUACAAAACCAACAUGAUUUUCCCUUUCAUCUUCAAUUAUGAAGCAUAGAUAGAUGGAUAGGAAAAUAUAACUAAAUUAAAAGGUUUAAUAUCUAUUUUGAUCUCUAUAUUAUUUAGUUUUGUUCAAAGUUAUCUUUACUUUUUUGAGAUGUUCAAAGUGGUUUAUUUUUUUGUAAAAAUUAUUCAAUUUGAUCUUUUUUGUCGACGACAUUUAAAUCGCUAACCGCGUAAUGUUUCACAUGUCAACGUAACAUGAUUCAAGGAAAAUAAUUGUUCUUUUCUUUUAGUGUUUAAACAGUUCCUUUUUAAAUAGUAGAGGAUAGUUGAUAGCGUAUCAUUCGUUUUCCAUUGCGACCUUGAUCAUUUUUUCAAGUCUUUUAAGACGUUAUGGGAAUCUUUCUUCAAUGUCUUUGUCUAAACAUAUUUGUACAAGCAACACAAUUGCCUUUGGAAAAGCAACAUAACAUUGACCUUGUACCAAAAAGACUAUACACCUACCUGAAAGUUAAUGCUCUGAGUAACAAAUCUUUUUCAAAGAAGCCUAUAUUAAUAGGAUCACAUGAAAAGAAGAAAGAAGAAUUAAGAAUCAUUAUUGCUCUUAUGCUGUCAAAACUCUCUUUUGCUUGCAUCAUUUAAAGAUUUCUUUGAACAGAAAAUCUUUGUUACACGUUUUCAGAUAUUCUUUGUAUUGCAAAUAUAUCCUCUGUACGAGAGUUAUUAUCUAUACUUGUUUUUCAUAAAAACACUUUGUUGUUUUUGAAGAAUGAGAAGUAAUUUAAAAUACUUGGUUAUUUAACUCAGUCUAGUUAAACGAUAUAGUCAAUUGGACUAUUUCUAUACCAAGUGUGGUGAAACUCGUUUAGUUUGUUAAACUAGUAUGAAACCAGGAGUAGUUAAACUCGUAUAAUAUUCUCAAAGAUAGUUGAACUCCUUAAAAAUGUUUAAGGAAGAACUAUAUGUAACUCAAUUUGAACUAGUAUAAAAAUAAGUCUUCUUUCUUGUUAAAGUUUUUAAAGGCUUUAAGAAUGCUUCUUAAGAUCCUAAUAUGUUCAACACUAUUUGCAUACCGUCUAAUCCAUGUAAAUAGUUUCUAACUCUCUUUUGUGAAAAAGUUUUAAACUUUACUCAAACUCCUCAUUUCUAGAGUUUACUUAUGAUUUGAUGAGGUGUUUUAAAGGAUUCUUGCUUGAUAUAGGUUUUAACUGUAAAAUCUUCACAUCAGAUGAUAUUUUUUCUAUCUUUACUUUGUAUUUUCGUCGUUAAUCAUUCUUUUGUAAUUCUUGUCACGGCUUAAGUGAUAGUUGUAUAAGCAAUUUUGUGAAACAUUUUCUGUUCUUGAGAAUUAUCUCAGGAUUUAUUGUAUAGAAUAGAGGUUACAUAGAUAAUAGGUGUUUCUUAUAAUAUGUAAAGUUUUGACAAUAUAGCUAAGGUUGCUAGAUAAAAUAGAUGUAAAUUUUUAAAGAAUUGAAUUAGUAUAAAAAAAAAUUGUGUCAUUGAUUUUUUUUUAUAUAUUUUUUUUUCAUGUAUUUUUGAAUCUUGGUAUUGAAUAGAAUUCUAAUUUCUUAAUUGAUUAAAAAAAAUUCAAAAGAGAAAGAGAAUCAAAUUUUUACUACAACCAAUUCAUUGAAAGAUAUUAGUGGUGGCAUUUUUUACAAUAACAACGAAACAUUACAUUCUAAAAAGAACUCAAUACACCAACAUCUACACUUAUACCUCUAAUAAGCUUUUACUACAUGGAAAUUCAUUUAUUAAACUAACUUUCAAAUUUAUUAAAAUAAAUCAAGAAGAAUUUAUAAAAAUGCUAUGACACGGUUUCGUCGUAACUCCAAAGAAGUUUUUUUUUUUUUUUUUUUUUCAUGCACGUCCAUUUAACAUACUUCAUGAUGGAAGGCUUUUAAGUUCUCUUUAAGAUGUGGUAUACCUUUUGUCGUGAGGCAUGUUUUUUUAGGGCACAUUGUGGUCACAGGUACAGGCAUGUAUGCUUUGGUCCCAUUGCUACCUUAUUUUAUUUAUUUUCGAUGUUUCUGUAAUAUUCCCUCCACAGAUGUAUUUUUUUUUUUGUUUUAUGUAUAGAUUUUUGUUGGAAGUUAUACACCUAUUAGAGAUAAGACUAAUUUAUAAUAUAUAAAUAAGGUGCAAAUUUUAUUUUACAAAUCGAUUUUAUAAGGUUGAGUUAGACUUAAAAACUCACUCUCUACUAAUUUUAAUUUUCAGUGAACCUUAUAUUCAAACAUUUUAUGAUAGCUGCACCACCACUAUGAAGAAGAGACCCUUUUGAUGGUGUUCACCAUGACAUCAAUCCCACCCUAUCAUGACGUGUGUUCUCUUCAAUUUUACAAAAUGAUGGUUUUUCCUUAACAAUUGUUUUCGUUUUUGUCUCUAAACAAUUCCGAGGAAAGAUCAUAACAAGAUGAGUAAUUAUUGAAAAAACUAAUUAUUAAGUCACAUAAUUUGAAUAUUUUUUAAUCAAUUUGAAAAAAUAAAUUAUAAAAAAAAAGUUGUGAUAAAUCAACCAUCUUCAUAAGUUGUGUACUUUUAAAAAAAAAUAGUAAAUUAUAUAUUUUAAAUGAACGUUAAAAAUUUAUAGUUAGAACUCACUUAUAAACACAAAAAAUAAUGUGUUUAAAUAUAUAUAUAUAUAUAUAUAUAUAUAUAUAUAUAUAUAUAUGUUCUUUCAUAUAUUUUUCUAACUUAUUCAAGUCAUUAUCUUCUCAAUUGUAAUGUAAAAAAUCAAUGUUUCUUGUCAUUUAUCACAUGUUCUACUCCCUCUAUAAAACAUGGCAAGAAGUAAAACACAAUCUAUUAUUCUAACUCAUUUUUCACAUAUUUUGUUUUAUUUUCAAAAAAAAAAUGUUUACCCGCUUCAUUACACGAAAAAUAAUAAAAUGUAACCCUUUUUAGAAAUUAAAACAAUUUGUUACUAUAUAUAUUGAUUAAGUUAGAUAUUAUUUUACAAAGGUUUAAUCAUUCUGAUAGUCUUUAUUUUCGGUGAUUUAUUUUAAUUAGGUCCUUUAUUUUUUCUUUUUCUCAAUUGGGUCCCUAUUUUUGAAAAAUUGAAGCAAUUAGGUCACUGUAGUUCCGUACUAACACCAUUAAAAAGGGUGACACGUGUCAGUUCGUGAUUUUUUUAAAUUUUUUAAAUAUAUUUUUAAUUAUUUUUAUUUUUAUUUUUAAUUUUUUUAUUUAUUUUAAAAAAAAAUUGUCACGUGUCAAGUUGACAUUGAGCCACGUGACAAUGACAAUGUGAGGUGACACUGAUAGGGCCACGUGUCACUAUCAGACCACGUGUCAUUAGAUUUGUUUUAAUUUGGUCCCUAUAUUUUUAAUUUGUCUUAAUUUGGUCCCUGUAUUCUUAUUUCGUCUUAAUUUAGUCUUAUUUUUUUUAAAAACUAAACAAUUUUGUUUCUCUCCAAGUUCAAACAAAAUUUUAUUUUUAUAUAAAUCUUUACAAAGAAAUUUAUACAAAUUAAUUUUUUUAUUAGAAAAAUAAAAAAAUUACAAACUAACAUAUGACACAUUUUUAUUUAUAUAGUAGUAAAGAAAUCAUUUAACCUAAAUAAUAUGAAUGAGUAACCUAUNNNNNNNNNNNNNNNNNNNNNNNNNNNNNNNNNNNNNNNNNNNNNNNNNNNNNNNNNNNNNNNNNNNNNNNNNNNNNNNNNNNNNNNNNNNNNNNNNNNNNNNNNNNNNNNNNNNNNNNNNNNNNNNNNNNNNNNNNNNNNNNNNNNNNNUAAAAAAAUUAGGACUAAAUUGAGACAAAAUAAAAAUACAAGGACCAAAUUGGAACAAAAAAAAUUCAGGGACCAAAUUGAAACAAACGCAAUGACAUGUGGUUUGACAGUGACACGUGGCACUGUCAGUGCCACCUCACACUAUCAUUGCUACGUGGCACAAUGUCAACUUGACACGUGACAAAUUUUAUUUUUAAAAGAAAAAAAAUAAAAAAAAAUAAAUAAAAAUAUAUUUAAAAAAUUCAAAAAAAUCACGAGUUGACACGUGUCACCCUUUUUAACGGUGUUAUUGCGAAACUAACGACAGUGACCUUAAUUGCUUCAAUUUUUCAAAAAUAGGGACCCAAUUGAGAAAAAGAAAAAAUGAGGGACCUAAUUGAAAAAAGUCACCGAAAAUAGAGACUAUCAGAAUGAUUAAACCUUUUAUAAACUAAAAAUUAUUAUUAUUUAAAAUUGUCUAUAUUAUGAAUAAAAAUAUUAUUGGUUUGUGAAUUAGAUUAUAAAUUUGUCUCUAAAGUUAGUUUCUAAGAUUUUAGUUGCUUAGUAUUAUUGAUUAUAAAUUAUAAUGUUUAAUUUUAACUAAUUUGAAAGUAGAGAGUAAUUUAUACAUUAAUUCCUAGGUAGUUAAUAUUAGGGAGCAAUUUAGAUUCUAAUUCACAAAUCAAUAAAAAGUUUUUACUUAUAAUAGAGUUUAUAUUAGAUAUUAAAAUUGUAUCAAAAUUAGUUAAUAUAAUUACUAAUUAUUUUGUUUAAAAUUGAUUGUUGUUUAAUGAUUUUUUUUUGUAAUAUUUCUCAAUAAAAUAUUAAUUUAUAGCUAGUAUUUAUAGUAUUUGUGAUAGGUGAACUUUGCAUAUAUGGUCUAAAAUAUAAGAAUUUAAAAAGAAAUUUUGAAAAUAUCUUUGAGUGAGAUCUAUAUAUAUUGAAACUCGUUCUAAAAUACGAAAUACGUUAAUUUCAAAAAAAUGAUAAUUGUGCAUAAUGGAUUAAGUGUAAGAAAAUGUACAUACCAAAGAAAGAGAGAGGAAUAAAUGGGAGUAUUUUUUUUCUCCUUUAAGGAACAUAGGUGAAAUAUGAGUUUCUUUCCAAGAAACUUAGAAGUGCAAGAGUUUUCUUGUCAAUCCCUUAUAAGGUUAGGUUGAUAUAUUUAUUAAUCUAGGGUUUUGAAUAGAGAGUGAUGUCAAUUCCUUAUAAGAUUGAACUGAUAUAUUAUUUGAUAUAUUUGAUAUUAGAAAUGAAAAAAUAGAACUCUAUAUAAAAAUAAAAGAUGUAUUAACUCAUUGUAACCUUUUCUUGGUAAACCCAACAUCUUUUAUAUGCAUUUAUUUAUUUAUUAUUCAUUGAUCAAUACUAAAUUUUUUCCUAAUAUCUUACUCCGGGCAUGGCAACUCAACCAUACCCAACUUAAGAAAAAUAAAAAAUCACGUUGAAGAGAGGAAACCAUAUCUGCUUUGUGCAUUAGCUUAUAUGAUUAACGUGUUGAUAGAAUUUUCUCUAAAGAUCUUCCAAAGUAUAAGAAAUCUAAUAUGAAGUGGGUGUGUAUUUUUUUACUCACAAAAGAAUAUGUGAAGCACUGUCUAUAUUUAAGUAUUAAUGAAUGUGUAUUGAUUGAUUUAACAAUAGUGGAGAGGUUUUCUGUUAGGUGGAAAGAGUGCGUUUAAUUCUUCCGUACGAUGAUUUGUUUAAUUCGGUGGAAAAAAGGAUGAAUGUGUCCAAACGCAUAUUCUGUCUGGUUUGGGAUUAUAUAUAUGGUGACUGAUGCGUGUGAGAAUCCAGGUUAGAUAUGUAACCCUGUAAGCCAAUAUUGGCUUCUGGACUAAUCCUUUUACUUUUAUUAAAUUUCCCACUAACAAAACACGAAAGGGAAAAGGGGCAAUCCAUGGUACCACUAUACAUACUUGCCCUAAUGGCACACAAUAACAAAAAUAUAUUUUUGUGUCAUAAUCAUAAAAAUAAUAAAAAAAUAAAAUAUCAAUUUUUUAAAAUAUAUAUAUAUAUAUAUAUAUAUAUAUAUAUAUAUAUAUAUAUAUAUAGAAUGGGGAUAAAAAAGAAAAAUUAAGGAUGAAUUUUGAUAAACUUAAAAACAAGGUGCGUUGAUAAUGCAAAGCAAUUAGUUUUUUAGCAAGUAAAUUGGAUAGUUUAUAAUAUAACAAGUAUCGUAUCUAAAAUUUUGAUAAAAUACACAAAGUUUAAAUUAGUUUUACUUGAAUAAAAUAAUAAAAAGGUGCAUGAAAGGUGUAGAAACAAAUUUGAUUUCAGAAAAUAAAAUUAAGCCUACAAGUAACGCAUUGUAAGAUAUUGAAAAGGUUGAUCUUAGGAUGAUAAAAAACAAUUUGAUAUUGAAAAGGUUGACAUUAGAAUGAUAAAGACGUGUUCAAACUAGAUUUUAUCACUUUGUUCCUCUCUUGUAAAAGUUCAGUUAUUAUUUAUAAAGAUACAAAUAAUCAUGUCUUGAGAGUACUCUUUAAAUGUAACUCUAAGUAUAUUCUUGUCACCUAGAGUCUAAGACCACUAGACUUUAGUAUGAUUCGUUAGUGAUUGCUUGAAUAGAUCACUUCCAUUAAGAUUAAGACUCUAUAACCAACUAAAGUCUUAAGUCUAUUCCUAGAAUCUAAAAGCAGGUAGAGAAUUUGUUGAACCAUAACUUAGAACUAGUUCUCACUCAAUCUCAAGCCAAUGAAAUAAAACAAGUGAUCAGUUCAUCCAAUAAUGAAUACAAACUAAUUCACAAACAUGUUAUAGUACAUUACGUUAAUAGAUAAAAGAAUAUCCAUACAAAAAAAUUCCAAAGGGUUAUAUCUUUGAUUCAACACUUUAAGAGAUUUAGCUCCUCAUAAUAGACUAUUAUGAAAAGAUUACAACACAAGGAGGAGGAGUCAUCUCUUCAUACCUUUAAUAAUGUUCUCCAAAAUUAUGAAGGAAAGUAUCUAAGAAUCUCUUUAAAAAGUCUCUCUCAAGAGUCUAUCCAAAAGUCCUUAAAAUAGAGGUCCAACUCUGUUCUUUAUAAACUUUUCAGGACGUGGCUUUAGCGAUGCAAGUAUGGUUUUCACUAUAGAGGUUUUCUUUUAAGAUGGGUUUUUUGUAGCUCAAACCUCAUGCUUUUGGUGUUGUAUCCCAUGAGAUAAUUUCUUUGAGGAUGAGUCUUUUUUUGGUGUGGCUCAAUUCUCAAGAUUGAAUUGCACAAGUGUCAAAUAAAAUGGAAAUAGGGAAGGUUGAGUGCAGUUAUUGUUGUAGACUGGUAGAAUCUCCAUUUAACGCCUAAGUUUUUGUUCAAUAAAUGGUUUUUUUGUAUCUAUUUCUGUCUGUAGUGUGCAAGAUAAAAUAAAGAACUAUUUAGAAGUCAUUUAAGUUUGCUAAAUUCUUUUCAGAUUGUAUUCGAACAAUGUUUGGGAACUUUGAUGUCUAUUUUCUUCGCUUAUUGCCUAAUGCUACACUUUUUCUUUUCUCAUUGUUAACAGGAUUUUCUUUUCAGCUGCAGAUUGUUGAUUAAUUAAAUCCCUUGAUUUCUUCACUUCAACUACCACAUCUGUUGCAAAAUCCUCUGGAUGAAAAAUGGAGGAUUGCUGUCAAAAUGAGAAUGACAGACAUAAGAUGGAAUACUUACAGAGGACCACAUUUCAUGGUAAAUAGAAUACAUGAAUGAAUUUGUGAUCUAUCUUUUCUUUUUUCAGCUUUGCACUACUGGUUACUUUAUUCAUUAAUUGAAUUGGAUUUUGCAUUUGCAGUGGAAUACUGGUUCUCAGCAUCAAGUGAAAGAGCCAAAUGCACUGGUUAUGAAUAAGAAGAUUAAGUCCAUUGUGGCUGAAAGGCAAGCUGCUGAUGUUAGCCUGAAUUUGGUUACAUUUGAUGAAAGUAAUUUAUUGCUGAAUAGUUAUUAUUAAAGUUGGGACAAUGAAGACAACAUUUUUUGACAAUAUUUGAACAUUAAUCAUAUGUGUCAUUGUGUGAUUAGUCCAAAUGACAUAAUGACACCACCAUGAACCAAUCACACAAUGACACGUAUGAUAUGAUGUUCAAAUGUUGUCAAAAAAUAUUGCCUGAUUAUCUUUAUCCUUAAAGUUGGGAAUGUGAUAUCACUAGUUAAGUAUUGGAUUCUGAUGAACUAGAGGCUUAGAAUAUGAAAAAUACGUGGUAAAUGUACUUUGUUUUAAUACAGACUUCAUAUACUUCAGAAAACUAGAUGGAAGCUAGUAACGAAAUGAAUUAUGAAAUUGGUUGUGAUUGGAGGAAUUCUGGAUGUUAAAGGAUAUUUUUUCAGAAAAGCUUAAAGAUCAUAGACUAGUAUUGUAUGGCUGUAUUCUCUGUUUUGAUCAAUCUAGUAACUAUUCUGAUGUCUGCAAUGUGGGGUUUGGAAUAUGAUGCUGUCAUAUUUGAACAUGGAAAUGAGUGAUAUUGAUGGUGCUAAACUGAACUUUCAUUGCUGUCAGCGUGUAAUAAUAUAUAUAUGUGUGUGCUGAAUUGGAUGAGUGAAUGAAUGUAACCAUGUUUUAACCUUGUUAGUCUGCUUCCAUUUUGUGUUAAGGGAAAAUCUGCAGGAGUAAUCUGGACUCUAGAACGAACCUAUUAGUAGAAAGAAUAUUUGUAGAUAUACUGAUAAUAAAGUAGGUAUCAAAUUAUAGGAUGAAAUAUCAUUGAUUUGAGAAUCCCGAGGUUGUAAUCAUGUUUGGGGUCUAAUCUGCCUUGAUUUCUGGUUUGGAGUGAAAAUAUGUUUGAAAUUUGAUAAGGAAAAAGAUUUUUUAACAAUUUUUUUUUAAAUUUUAAAAAUAUUUUUUAAAAUAAAUUCAACAUAUCAAUAAAAUGAUGAUUUAUUUUAUUGUAAAAAAAUUAUUAGAAAAAAUUAUUAAUAUAUCGUGAUGGAUUUUAUAAUAUGAAUGUUCUGUUUUGGUCCAAUGAUUUAUAAUGGUCUAGAAUGUUUAGAAGUUAUUUCUAAUUACUAUUUACGUGAACUGUUUGAGAACCUAAAAUUUAUCUGUUUGAGCUUAUUGGUUUCACAAAUGGUUGUGAUUUAAUUUUAACCUAUAAUUAACCUAAAAUUUAAUUUUAAAAAAUUGGCAUACAAUUCUGAUCUUUUAUUUUUAGGUUAUGAUUUUAUUUUUAAAAAAAUAUUAUAAAGGAACUUGUACAAAUAUAGAAAAAAGAUGGAGUGAACAUUCAAAAGAAUCUCAGCUAUAUAUAGGAAAUAUUGUUUGUGGUGUCUCAUUUUGCACACGCUUUUUCCUUUUCCAUUUGUGUGUUUUACCUUUCCAUUAAAUAGGGCACCAUUUAUGCCCUGAAUCUCUUCAAGAACACCUUUAUUGACCAUCAUGCUUUGGAAACCCUUUUUGUGUCCCACAUGUUGUGGCAAUUAAUACAAUCAAAGUUGCUCCUAUCCCAUUUUAUUUGCCUCAAUUGUGAGCCUUUAGACUAUCAGAUUUCCAUGUUAUGCCAAUGCUUUUGGUUGCAUACAUCACAUGACUCUAAGGCAAUAAAGCCUAGUGCCUUUUGCUCUAUUUUUCCUUUCAUUCUUACAAAACCAUUUUUUAAACAUUAUUUUAUUUGUAAAUCUCCAAAUUAUAUAUAAAGAGAGAGGUUUAAUAAUUUCAGAUGUCUCAAUUUGUGCAUAAUCGUCUCAAAUAGAUUCUCGUAUUUUAAUUAAUCUUAAUUAGUUUUUUUUUUUUUUGAAAAAUUGACUUAAUUUGGACAUUGUUGUUAAGUGGACUGGAUGGCGUUAUAAAUUUUGUGUGAUGGCUUGCUAACUGAACACCUUUUAAUUACAAGGCAGAGUUUGGUCGUUUUAGGUGGACUUUUUUAUUUAAAGUUUUAAAUAAGUAAGUGGUCAGCCUGAUGGUUGGCCUAGUAGUCGGCCACUCGACUUGGUGGGUGAUCGGCCUGGUGGUACCAUGAGACCGUACGGUACAUAAAGGAUUCUUCAAAAGUCAAUCGAAACAUUAAAUCAAUUCUUAUUAUUUAAGCUUUAAAUAAUACUUUUUGUAUCGUACGGUCUCCUAACACCACUAAGCCAACCACCCUUCAAGCCGACCAACCACUAGACCGAAUGGCCGACUACCAGGUCGAGUGGCCAACCACUAGGCCUACCACGUCUAAAUUGUUUUUCAUUCCUACUUAAAAUAAAUCCACGUAAUGAUUAAACAUCUAAUUGAGACAAAUAAAAAUAUGAAGACCUAUUUGAAACGAAUAUACACAAAUAAGAAUGUCUUAAAUGAUUAAACAUAUAUAUAUAUAUAUAUAUAUAUAUAUAUAUAUAUAUAUAUAUAUAUAUAUAUAUAUAUAUAUAUAUAUAUAUAUAUAUAUAUAUAUAAACAUUAAAUUAAAUUCAUGAUACCAUCUUAAACAUGCACUUUUUGUUUAUCACUAAAUUCUAUAUUUUAUCACUCUAUAAUUAUUUAUUAUUAUUAUUAUUAUAACAUGUACGGUAUGAUAUCUGGGACGAGCGGUUACGAAGAAUAACCGAUCGAUUAUGUAUAACAUCAUGACUAUGUUGGACCAUAAUUGGGUCAUCUCUUAUUAUUGGGCUUGUAGUCCACCAAUUUAAACGAUAUCUUAUUAAAGAUCUGAGAAUCAAAUAAUAUCUGAUAAAAGAUAUCGAUAAAGUUGUUUAUGAGUAACCAAGUAAGUUUGUUUAUAUUUUAUUCUGUCUAUAUUCUAUUGGGAUUAUAUCAGUUCAAGGUCUAUAAAUAGAGAGCCAGAGAGACAAGCCAGGUACGUUCUAAUCACGCUUCACUCAUGUUUCUCAUACUCUAUACUCUUCUCAUAAUCACAACAACUCUUCUAUCAACUCUCUCAUACUGAGAAUCAUCAUACUAAGAACUAAGGUUCUUCCAUUAUACACGCCUAACUUGGACGUCAGAGUGUCUUUGCACGUACCUUCCCCCUCGGUCAAAACUCGAAGAACACCGGACAGUUCGAACUGAAAAAGAGCGAACGGUCAAAGUACGGAAGAAGGGAAAGCCAGAAAGCCACGUUGUCCAGAUUAGUAUCUCAGUCCCACGAAAUAUUCACCGAAACAUAACAUAUUCUAAAUUUUCACAUAUUUUACUUCUGAAGGUUUUCUUCUUUAUAUUUAACAGUCAUGUUUUGCAAUUUUCACUAUCCUUGUUAUGACAAACAUAUUGCUUUGUGAAAAUUGCUGAUAAAACGACUUUGCUUUCGAGGACACGCUAGUCUUUUGAUACAAAAUUAAUAUGAUGACAAAAUAGGCUAAAAUAUAAAAAAUGUAAUGAUAAAAUGAAUGAAACAAUGAUAAUCAAGAACUGAAAUGUGUAAUUCAGGUUAAUUUUAUUUAUUAUACCCUAAGUUUGAAGUAUUCACAUAUUUUAUUAUGAAAAGAAAAAUAUGGUUUUGGUCUUUGUAUUUUUCUGUUAAUUUAUUUUUAAAUUGAAAAAUAAGUUCUAUUUUUUUAAAAAAAUUAUUUAAUUGUAUUUAUAUUAAACUUAUUAUUUAAUGACUUUUUACUGUCACAAAAAAAAUGAAAGAAUGACUGAAUUUAAAGAUUUUUUGAAGUUCAAAAACUACCUCAUUUUAAAUGUUUGACAAAAAAAAAAAUAGAAAGAACAUAGAACAUAUAUUUUUCCCCAUUACAAGUCAUUGAUUUUUACCAAAAAGUAUAUCUCAUCAAUUUGUAGUAAACUGCUCUCCCACUACAUUAUAAUUACAAGUUGUAAUGUAUUACAAUUUCCUUUUAUAUUUAUUAACUUUAAUAAUGUUUAUCUUCUAUGUUAUCUCUUAAAAAUUAAGGUUUGAUAUGUAAUAGGCAAAAGUCACUUUAGUGCAAAAAUUCACCUGGAGCUAAACCUUUAAUUUUCUAGUGACUUUGUUUAAGUCAUCAAUAAUUAGUCCAUAUGUUUUCAAUUGAUCGAGUUAUUUUCAAUCAUGUUAGAUUUUUUAGUCAAUUUUACAAUAUUUCUUAAACAUUAUGUAUUUUUUUUAUAUUUACCUUGUAAUUGUCAAUUAAUGUACUUUUUUUAAAUUAUUAAUGAAAUUAAUUUUGAUUAAUUUUUAUGUACUUUACAAUUUUAUAUAUUUUAUUUAUUUCUUAUGAAAAACAAAAUUUAAUUAAAUUAAAAAAUUAUGAAUGUAAGUUGGUAAUUAUAAAUAAAGGAUGUUUCAAAUCUCCAUAAAAUAAUAGUUAUUAAUAGAAGAGAUUAAAACUCUCGACAAAAAACUUCCAUAAUAUAAACUCGAUACUAGAGAUUAUAUAUAUAUCUACAAAUCGAUUGUGACAACUCUAGUUGUAGGUAAUAUAAUGUAGAAGUUAUUGUGAAACGUGAAACAUGACCACUUUGUUAUUCGCACUUUCUCAUCAAAAUCAAUAAAAAUAACUUGUUAUUCAUACCUUCUCAACAAAAUCAAUAAAAAUCACUUGUUAUAUAUUCACACUUUCUCAACAAAAUCAAUAAAAGUCACUUGUUAUUCUACUAAUCACAAUAUCUUUUUAUAUUAAUUACAUACUUUUCUAACUUGUAAAGACAAAUAACUAGUGUUGUCAGAAUGAGUUGAAACUCGUGAGUCAAUCUGACUCAUCACGAGUUCGAACAGGGUUGGAUUGAAAAAAAAAAUAUGAAAUUUUGAUGCAAGCAAAUUUUGACCCGACUCAAUAAGAAUUCGGCUCACCCGGGUUAAACCCGUGGUGAGCCGGGUUGGUUCACUAACCCACCUACUUUUUUAGUUUUUUUUAAUGAAAUGAAAUUAAUUAAUUAUUCAAUGAAACCAAAAACAUUGCAACUCAAACCCUUAUUCUGCCUAUGCAAAACCCCUUUUUAUAUCAAUCGAUCCAAUUAUUACUGUUUCAACUUGAUCGAUCAAAGUAACAUAUUAUAAGAAUCCUAAAAGAAAAGGGUGAAAAAAAAAAUUUAAGUGAGCCAAUAAGUCAAAAUCCGUUUAACCCACUAAUCCGUAGUGGGUCGGAUCAAGUUUGAAUUUUUUUGACUCAUUAAUAAAUAAAUCGGAUUGGAUUAGUUUACUAAAUAGUUAACCCAUGAUGUGUCGGGUCGGGUCGAAUGAACUAUUUUGACAUCACUACAAAUAACAAGAUGAUGGAAUGAAAUAAUAAUCUUAUUAAUCAACAGAAAAAACUUAAUUAGAAAAUAUAAAAAUUUAAUUGAAAUUAGAACAUAAUUAAAUUCACAUUCAAGUUUGAGUGAAGACGAGGAAGGGGAACUUUGACAUUUUUUUUUUUACGUUUUAACAACUAGUGUGGAAGUUCUUUUCUCAAAACAAUGAAAAUUUGUUUCGGAAGCAUGGGAGGCAGUGUGAUUAUAAAUACAGAAUACCGCUCACAACCACUCGCAUGGCGCAUUUAUGUGAACGCACGUUCAGUAAACAAAAAAAUGAGAUUCUGGACAGAAUCUGAGAUUUCAGUUCACUGCAUGUGAAGAGAAGAAAGCAAUAAGCUUACAAGACUUUGUUAUUUGCAUUUAUUAACUGCUACUCAGCCAACUAUGGCAUCUCCACUGUCCAUCUCGUGAAUGAAAUCAUUAUCAUCCAUUUUUAUUUUAUGAAACCAUUUACAUAAUAACUUACAAUUUAUUGUAUUUUAUUUUUUUUUCUUUUGUUGUGAUAUAUUAUUUUUAAAAAUUUUAUAAGGCUCAAACUCUAAUUAAUAUUUUUUAUUUAAUUAUUGACUUUAAAAAAAAUAUUUUUUAGUAAUCCUGAGUUUUAGUUAAGUUUUAAAAUAUUACAUUUUAUGCUAUUUUUAACUCACUUUAAUAAAAAUCUUAUAGAAUGUAAGUUUUAAACGUGCGAUUGUAUAUAUUUAAAGGGUUUAUUACAGAUAAAAAGUAUAUAAUUAUCACUGCAAUUUUUUAAGGAUAUCGGAAACAAGUCACACUCUACUCAUCUAUUUGAGUAUAUGAACAUCUUAUAUUAAUAAACAAAGGUUUAAACCAUUUAGGUGUCUUUAUUUUUGUUUAGUCUUCCCACUUUGAUCUGCUUCUUUUAAACUUUUCCAAUUAAAUUCUUAGAACUGUUAAUUUGAAACAAUUGAGUCCCUGUCAUUAAAAAUCGUUAACGGUCGUUUAAGUAUCGAUGACGUGGCAUUAUAAAUGAAUUUUAUAUUAAAAAUGAUUAAUGAAUAUUCGUGUAAUCAGGAUUUUAGAAGGACAAAAUGGGAAUAGGAAAGACUUUCUUCUUCCUCCACGCUCCUGCGUUUCAAAUCCCAAAAAACAUGAGUUGCAGCGGUAAUGUUAUAUUUUAAAACAUGUAAAGAUGAAAUUGAACAUUAUAAACAUAAAAAAAUCCCGGAAAACAUGUUUUCUAAAUGUAUUACCUUUUCCUCAAGCAUCUUUUUGCAUGAUUUUUCUUCCUAUGAGGACUGUCUUUCAGUUUUAUUGAAAGAGUUCAAUUCCUUUUGUUUAUAAGCUCGUAGUGAUGCUAGAUAGUCAGCAUCCUGCACAAAAGUAACACAAAUUAUGUAUCAUGUCAUAAACCUUGAUCACACAGGCAUCAAAGGCAAGAAUCUAAACCUAUUGUUGUUUCAGCAACCGAGAGUCAAUUAAAAAUUGUGACAUAGAAGUGGACAUGCAAUGCGUUUCGAGAUCCAUAUUUUCUUUUGGACAAUGUUGCAGAUUAGGAAAGGAUGGAACACUGUAUAGAAAGUGUUUGAAAUGAAUUGAUUUGAUCAUUGNAUUACAAUAGUAUAAAUAUACAAAUUGAUAAUCCAAUUUGAAAGAGUUAAAAGGAAAUAAACUAUACCAAUUUAAUAUCAAUUAUUGUAAUAUCAAUUAUAAUAAUUGAUAUUAAAAUAUCAAUUAUAAUAAUUGAUAUUUUAAUAUCAAUUAUUAUAAUAUCAAUCAUUGAUAUCAAUCAUAAUAAUUGAUAUUUUAAUAUCAAUUAUUAUAAUAUCAAUCCUAAUAAAUGAUAUUUAACACUGACAAUUAAACUAAAUAAAGGGAAAGUAAAUAUACAAAAAUUAGCUAAUAAAGACUAAUUAUUACAAUUUAAAACUAAUUAUUGUAAUUGAUAUCCUCCCGCAAGUUGGACGAUCUGGAAGAGAGAUGCAACUUGGACAAUAAUGAGUCAAACCGAGGAUGAAGCAGAGGCUUUGUGAGUAUGUCAGCAAGUUGAUCAUCAGUAGACACAAAGGAAACCUGAAACUUGCCUUUUUGGACAUUUUCACGAACAAAAUGAUAGGCUAAGGCUAUAUGUUUCAUCCGAGAGUGAAAAACAAGAUUAGCACUCAGAGUUGUGGCACCAAGAUUGUCACAAUAAAUAACUGGAUUGGUUGUGGGCAUGUGACCAAGUUCAGUGAACAAGGAUAAGACCCAUAGAAGUUCACUGGCUGUGUCAGCCAAGGCUUUGUAUUCUGCUUCAGUUGAGGAACGAGCAACAGAGCGUUGUUUUCGGGAGCUCCAAGAGAUGGGAGUGCUACCAAGAUACAACAAAUAACCAGUGGUAGAGAUAUAAUCAUCCUUAUCACCCGCCCAAUCUGCANCGGAGUAAGCAUGAAAUGUUAGUGGAGCAGUUGCCGAGAUGAAGAUACCUUUGUUGCAAGAGCCCGCCAAAUAACGGAGCACCCGUUUGAGGGCAGACCAAUGCUUCGUUCUGGGGUGUUGCAUGAACUGUGCAAGUUUGUUGGUGUUGAAGGCGAUGUCCGGGCGAGUAAGACUUAAGUAUUGAAGACUUCCCACGAGUGCACGAUACUCAGUUGGGUAAGGUAGGAGAUCACCUGAAUCCUUGAGUAAUUGAGCACUGGCAGACAAGGGAGUGGAUGCUGGUUUGGUGUUAGCCAUGCCUGAUUUAUGAAGAAGAUCAAUGAUGUAUUUCCUUUGUGAAAGAAAUAGUCCUGUAGCGGAAGGAAUUACUUCGACGCCCAAGAAAUAGUUAAGACAACCAAGGUCUUUCAGUGAAAAUCAGGCAGCAAGGGUAGAUAUAAGGUUGGACAACUCUGUAGAGGAACUCCCAGUGACAAUGAUGUCAUCAACAUAUACUGAUAAAUAUAGUGUGGAACCUGAUUUUUGAUAGAUGAAGAGAGAUGCAUCCGCAGUUGAAUUGACAAAGCCAAGAGAGAGUAAAAACACUCGAAGCUUCGUAUACCAGGCGCGAGGUGCUUGCUUUAGCCCAUAGAGUGCCUUUUUGAGGCGGCAAACAUGAUCAGGGAAACUUUUGUUGACAAAACCAGGGGGUUGGAGCAUGAAAACUUCCUCUUUGAGCGUCCCUUGAAGAAAUGCAUUGUUGACAUCAAGUUGGCGAAUGGACCAUCCUUGACGAACUGCAAGAGUGAGGACAAUGUGAAUGGUGACCGGUUUAACUACCGGACUGAAUGUCUCUGUAUAGUCCCAACCAGGGCGUUGGUGAAAACCUUUGGCGACUAGACGAGCCUUGUACCGAUCAAUCGAACCAUCCGGGUGUCUUUUGAUUCGAAAAACCCAUUUGCAGCCAACCAAAUUUUGAGUAGAGGACCGACUGACAAGUUUCCAAGUGUUGUUGCAGUGUAAGGCGUCAAACUCAGCUUGCAUGGCUGAGCGCCAAUCAGGGUCACGAAGAGCUUGGGUGAUGGUGCUGGGCUCGAGUGGAGAAGAGGAUUGGACAUGGAGGUUGAGCUUCUGGAUGGGUUUGACAAUGUUGUUUUUGGACCGGGUGAUGAUGCCUCCUCCAUCGGUUUGGGGUAUCCUGUUAGGGUUGACAUUGGGUUGGGAUGAUGGCAUGGAACAUUGUGAGGAUGGAGGUGAUGAGGUGGUAUCAAAGUGUUUAGUGGAGGGUUGGGUCGAAGUCGGGGGNNNNNNNNNNNNNNNNNNNNNNNNNNNNNNNNNNNNNNNNNNNNNNNNNNNNNNNNNNNNNNNNNNNNNNNNNNNNNNNNNNNNNNNNNNNNNNNNNNNNNNNNNNNNNNNNNNNNNNNNNNNNNNNNNNNNNNNNNNNNNNNNNNNNNNNNNNNNNNNNNNNNNNNNNNNNNNNNNNNNNNNNNNNNNNNNNNNNNNNNNNNNNNNNNNNNNNNNNNNNNNNNNNNNNNNNNNNNNNNNNNNNNNNNNNNNNNNNNNNNNNNNNNNNNNNNNNNNNNNNNNNNNNNNNNNNNNNNNNNNNNNNNNNNNNNNNNNNNNNNNNNNNNNNNNNNNNNNNNNNNNNNNNNNNNNNNNNNNNNNNNNNNNNNNNNNNNNNNNNNNNNNNNNNNNNNNNNNNNNNNNNNNNNNNNNNNNNNNNNNNNNNNNNNNNNNNNNNNNNNNNNNNNNNNNNNNNNNNNNNNNNNNNNNNNNNNNNNNNNNNNNNNNNNNNNNNNNNNNNNNNNNNNNNNNNNNNNNNNNNNNNNNNNNNNNNNNNNNNNNNNNNNNNNNNNNNNNNNNNNNNNNNNNNNNNNNNNNNNNNNNNNNNNNNNNNNNNNNNNNNNNNNNNNNNNNNNNNNNNNNNNNNNNNNNNNNNNNNNNNNNNNNNNNNNNNNNNNNNNNNNNNNNNNNNNNNNNNNNNNNNNNNNNNNNNNNNNNNNNNNNNNNNNNNNNNNNNNNNNNNNNNNNNNNNNNNNNNNNNNNNNNNNNNNNNNNNNNNNNNNNNNNNNNNNNNNNNNNNNNNNNNNNNNNNNNNNNNNNNNNNNNNNNNNNNNNNNNNNNNNNNNNNNNNNNNNNNNNNNNNNNNNNNNNNNNNNNNNNNNNNNNNNNNNNNNNNNNNNNNNNNNNNNNNNNNNNNNNNNNNNNNNNNNNNNNNNNNNNNNNNNNNNNNNNNNNNNNNNNNNNNNNNNNNNNNNNNNNNNNNNNNNNNNNNNNNNNNNNNNNNNNNNNNNNNNNNNNNNNNNNNNNNNNNNNNNNNNNNNNNNNNNNNNNNNNNNNNNNNNNNNNNNNNNNNNNNNNNNNNNNNNNNNNNNNNNNNNNNNNNNNNNNNNNNNNNNNNNNNNNNNNNNNNNNNNNNNNNNNNNNNNNNNNNNNNNNNNNNNNNNNNNNNNNNNNNNNNNNNNNNNNNNNNNNNNNNNNNNNNNNNNNNNNNNNNNNNNNNNNNNNNNNNNNNNNNNNNNNNNNNNNNNNNNNNNNNNNNNNNNNNNNNNNNNNNNNNNNNNNNNNNNNNNNNNNNNNNNNNNNNNNNNNNNNNNNNNNNNNNNNNNNNNNNNNNNNNNNNNNNNNNNNNNNNNNNNNNNNNNNNNNNNNNNNNNNNNNNNNNNNNNNNNNNNNNNNNNNNNNNNNNNNNNNNNNNNNNNNNNNNNNNNNNNNNNNNNNNNNNNNNNNNNNNNNNNNNNNNNNNNNNNNNNNNNNNNNNNNNNNNNNNNNNNNNNNNNNNNNNNNNNNNNNNNNNNNNNNNNNNNNNNNNNNNNNNNNNNNNNNNNNNNNNNNNNNNNNNNNNNNNNNNNNNNNNNNNNNNNNNNNNNNNNNNNNNNNNNNNNNNNNNNNNNNNNNNNNNNNNNNNNNNNNNNNNNNNNNNNNNNNNNNNNNNNNNNNNNNNNNNNNNNNNNNNNNNNNNNNNNNNNNNNNNNNNNNNNNNNNNNNNNNNNNNNNNNNNNNNNNNNNNNNNNNNNNNNNNNNNNNNNNUCAUGGGAGCAGGAACCUGUCGUUGAGCAGCAACAAGGGAGAGUUCUUGAAUGAGAAGCUUCUCGAGGAGGUCAUCAAAAAGAAUGGGAGUGUCCCUUGGAUUGACGCCAUCAAUGACAGCUCUAUAACCAUCGUCGAGGCCACGCAAGACAUGGUCAGUCAUGUCUUCAACGGAGACAGGAGAGCCGAGUGAGGCAAAGAGAUCUGCAGUUUGCUUCAGAGAAUGCAUGUAGGUGGUGAUGGACUGGGUACCUUUGGACGCCGUGUGGAGACACUCCUUUAACUGCUUGAGGUGGCUACGAGAUGCCUUGGCAUAGGUGCGCUGGAGAAGAGUCUAGAGAUCGUGUGAUGUCGUUGUUUGAGACACCAGGGAUGCCACUUCAGGGGAGAGAGUGGUGAGGAGAGCACCGUAUAUAAGACGGUCCUGUCGACGCCAGGUUUGAUAAGCAGGAUUUGGAGUUGGGGGUACACCGGUGGUGGAGAUCGUCAUCGAUGACGCAAGAAAGGAUCCAUCUGGAUAUUUGAGAAGAUAAUAGCCAUCAAGAAGAGCUUCAACUUGAAGUUUCCAAGUGAGGUAAUUUGAGGGUAGAAGCUUGGUGACACUGCUAAGGGUGAUGCAAGUGAAUGGUUUUGAUGGCUCAUGAGGGUUGCUAAUAGAUGAAGAGUUGUUGUUGGCCAUGGGAGGCAAAAAGAAAGGAAGGAGCGACGUCCUGUGUUGAGGAAAAAAAAAACAAAGAAACGAAGAGGAUCGUUUUAGGCUGAUACCAUAUAGAAAGUNUUUGAAAUGAAUUGAUUUGAUCAUUGGAUUACAAUAGUAUAAAUAUACAAAUUGAUAACCCAAUUUGAAAGAGUUAAAAGGAAAUAAACUAUACCAAUUUAAUAUCAAUUAUUGUAAUAUCAAUUAUAAUAAUUGAUAUUGUAAUAUCAAUUAUAAUAAUUGAUAUUUUAAUAUCAAUUAUUAUAAUAUCAAUCAUUGAUAUCAAUCAUAAUAAUUGAUAUUUUAAUAUCAAUUAUUAUAAUAUCAAUCAUUGAUAUCAAUCAUGAUAAUUGAUAUUUUAAUAUCAAUUAUUAUAAUAUCAAUCAUAAUAAAUGAUAUUUAACACUGACAAUUAAAUUAAAUAAAGGGAAAGUAAAUAUACAAAAAUUAGCUAAUAAAGACUAAUUAUUACAAUUUAAAACUAAUUAUUGUAAUUUAUACACUGUGAGUGGAAAUUUCACCAAAAAGUGAAUAUAUCAAUAAUAUUGUUAUCUAAAAAUAGAAAAAAUAUAAAAUUUAUUUAAUUAAAAAAAUAUAUGAAAUUAUAUGAGGUAAGAACAUGUUAUCAUUGCAGGAAACAAGUUCAAUAAUAAUAACUUCUAAAAAUGAAAAUAUUAUAUAUAUGUGUACAAACUUUCAUCAAAGUAAAAAAUAAUUUAUAUUUCUAAAGGAGUAGUGUUUUAAACGUCACAACAAUGACAUUUAACAUAAUAAAAACAAUAUAACUAUGGAAUGAGUGUGUUAUAGAGGUUAAAUAUGGCAUUUCUCUACAAAUCAUCUCAAAUCCGCUCAUAUGCACAAGGAUGGGAAAAAGUAUAUAUCCUACAAAUCAUUGUUUUUACUUGCUCGCAAAUAUGCACAAUCGAACAUAGAAAUUCAUUCAAAUCUACACCUAUGGCAAAUCUUCGCAAACGAACACACACUAAGUGAAGGAGAGGAGAAAAAUUGAUUAUAGCAAGAGAAGACAUCUCAGAGACGACAACAUAUGGAGAGCUAACAAUGUGGGAAGGUCAUGGCAUCUAUGCAAUGUGGAGAGAACAUGAAGAGAAAAGAAGAACAACGUAAACGAGAGGAACAAAGAUGAACUGAGAAAGAGAGAACGUGUGAAUCAAAUUAGGAAAAUGAAGAAAACUUGAAGAGAGAAAGAGAUUAAGGAUUCAGAUUCUAUGACAAGUGGUUUACUAGUUGUCAUAAUAAGUUUUGAACUUUAUUACGAAAGUACUACCGCUUCUGACCUAUUAUGCAAGGUGGUGAACUAAUCGUCAUAAUAAGACCUACUAUGACAGACCUUCCUAGACCUGCAGUAAUACAUUUUGAAUAUAAUCUCAAUUUUACCAGUACGCCCACCUAUUAUGAUAAGUAUUCCAAAGUAUAUCGUAAUAACUCUUACUUUUAUUAUAAAAAUACCACUUAUCAGCUUAUUAUGGCACAUAGAUUUUACAAGUCAUAAUAAAUUAUCAUAGAACCCCUUUUUUUCACUAGUGAUUUGAGAGAAACCUAGAGCUAAUGUGUGAGACGAGAGAACUCAUUAAAAGAGGUAAAACAGUCAAUAAAGUAAAGAUGAGUUCUUUGGUAUAGAAGAUGAGUAUGAAAAAAAGGUGAAAAAACUCUUGAGUGAAAAGAGAAAAAGGGAAAAAAAAGAGAAGGAAGAAAUAAGUAAAAGGUAUAAAGAGAAAAAGAUAAAAGAAAGGAAUGAGUAAGAAAAUAAAGAAAAAGAAAGAGUUGAAAGGAAAAACUAUCUUGAUUCAUUAGAAGAAAAACUUAAGAUUCUUAAUAAAAAAACAAGAGAGCUCACGAGGAAAUAAGAAAAAGUAAGAUUAUGAGUCUCUGAAAAAAGGAGUACAAAAACUCCAACAUUAAACACACACUUUGAGGAAGAUAGUAGGAGUGUCAAUCAAAUAUGGAAGAUGAAACUACUAAUUUGUCUAUCCCCAUUAUCUUCCUGUAUACAUAAAUGACUAUUCUCUCAUGAUCACUUUAAUAGAAUGAGCAAAUGUAAGCUAUUGUUUGAAUAAGUGUUUAUACAUUUAGUUACUAUUCUUGUUCUACAUACCUGGUUCAUCAUGUAGACUUAUCAAAGUCGAGUAAUAGAAUCACCCUUUUUGAUCGUUUAGUAAAUAAGGGGGAGAAAACGAUAUAAUCCAAAAAGUCCAACAUGAAUAGAAUAAGAUAACACAGAAUCAAGGGGAGUCUCCAGAAUUUUAGAAGCUCUCAUGCAUAACACUAUACACAUUCAUGUUAAUGUACCAUGUUUAUGUGUUUAAAUAUCAGUCUUUUGCAUAUAUUAUAUGCUCUAAUUAUUUAUCAUGCUUUAAUUAUUUAUAACAAUUGUUAUGAAAACUAACUCGCAUGCAUGUAAGACAACAUAUUUAAACAACUAAAAACUUUAGUUUUAUAAAUGCACUUCUAUGUAGAUUGAAAAAUCAUUUUGUUUAGAUAUGUAUUUGUUAAACAUAAAAAAAGGGAAGAUUGUUAAGACAAUAUUAUCUAUAAGACUGAACUUCUAAAUGUUCUCAUAUGUUUUAAAGUUUAACAAAAAAACAUUAAACAAAGAUAUGAAAAUGUUAUCAUUAGAAUAACAAUACAACUAAAAUAUAAGUGGCUUGUGAAAAUAUAAACACCUUAAGGAAAGCCUUAGUAAAAACACUGGGUAUGAACAGACGCAUUACUAAAUGAUUUCCCCAAUUAAUGUGUCAAUAAGAAUCUUGCUUAAUGCAACGAAUGUUAUACCUCGUUAGGUGAUGGUCAAAGAAACUCUCAAUAUAUCUUGAUAGAUAAAAGCGUCAAACUAUGUUUUCGAAAAUAACACUAAAAGUCUCAAAUGAUAUUCCAAAAACUCGUGUUGGAAGAUACUUAUUACACGCAUUCUUGAAUAAAAUAGAGAAAAACUUAAAGAAGCAUUUACACAGGCUAUACGGUACCAUGUGCCACUUCAUCCAACAAUGAAGUCUUCAUCAACUGCUUGGUAUCUUAGUGAAAAGCUUAAACGGUCAAAUCUUACCUGGACGAUAGAAAACUUUGUUAUUCUGAACAUGCAUUAAAUGUCAUUAAAAGCUCAACGUUUAAAAACAACAAAAGUAAUAAGAGAAAUGACGUAUCUAUUACAUGCAUAUCUAUUCUACUUUGUGUAGAUUGCCUAUUACAUGCAUCAACCUGCUCCAUCCUAUACAAAUUAGAAGUGGACAAUAGAAACAAAGAAGACAUUCACAAAAUGUUCUCCUCAUCAAAACUCGUGCCAGAAAAAUGGCGUUUCCUACUUUUGUCAAAGUACUAAAAAAACAAGUUUGUUUUGACAAGUUGACUUUAACUAACAACUGCUACAUAUAAUAAGACUAAGAAGACUCAAAGAUCAAAGCAAAGCUUUAUCUAACGGAUAUCUUUUGAGAAAUCUUUAAUUAGAAGAUCACUAAAACAAAUAAUCAAGAGAAUAACAUAUAGAAAGAAACCAGGAAUGAGUGAACUUCAACUAGACAGUGUAUCGAAAAGAUACCGAGAGUGUCUAAGGAUAUCAGGAGUGGUAAAGAAUAUUACGCAACCAGGAAUGAGUGAAACUUGCUACUAGUCAGAGUAACGGUGGUUACUUGGAGUGACUAGGGAUACCAAGAGUGGUGAGAAUACUCAAUUGUAAUCUUGUUGAAGAUUAUAGUGGAACUCUUAAAGGUGUUAGAGGAGACUGAACAUAGUUCGGUGGAGUGAAUCAGUAUAAAAACAAUUGUGUGUUUAUUGUUUUAUUCUUUUUAAACGUUUUUCUUACAAAUCAAAUAGUUGCACAUUACUUUAACCGCCAUGAAAUCUCUUGUCACAAAAAGCCUUUUAUUAAGAGCUAGUUUUAUCAAAGCGCUACAACAAACAUAUUUAAAUUAUUGAAAAGUAUUUUUGCUAAAAUAACUUUUAGUUUGAACUAAAUUUUAAGAUGGAGCAUUUAACAACUUACGUAAACUUUUCAAUCAUCGAAAAAUUGUUAAAUUAUCUCCUUCGCAAGAAGUUUUCCUAUAACAUUAUUCAACCCUCUUCUAGUAUUUUUCCAAGUACUUCAUUUCUAACAAAGCCUAUUCCACGUAUCAGGUUAUUAGAAAGAAAGAAAAAUAAAAAUAAAUAAACAUUUUAUGCGUACACUUGAAUUAAGCAUAAGACCAUUAGCCUAGAAUAAAGUGCUCUAACCAUCAAAGCUUUAUAAUUCUUUAUUUUAAUGUACCCAAAGUACUUCCAAACACAUUCUCAUAACUUGGCUAUUUUUUCCAGGGUCUUGUCUCGACUACAACUUGGUCAAAGGGUUAGUUACAAUUGCAACAACUAUUCCCUAUGUGCUAAAUUAAACUUUCAAGCUUGAGAGAAUUAUGUACAUAUUUGGCCUAACUAUUGACUUAAGAUGAUUACAUAAUAUUCCAAUGUAUAUUUAUUGGCAUAAAUAUUCAUUUCUGUAGUAUAUGUGAUCAAAUUUUAAUAGUUUGAUUAUGUCAUGAUUUUCCUUAAUACCAUACCAUAUAUUUAUAGAAUAUUUUGGGAUAUUAGAUAAAAUAUCACUUUAUUAUGAUUGUUAUAUUAAUUUUCAUAUAAACGAUAAAUUUUUAUUUUAUUAAUACUAUUUUAUAUCAAUUUUGAUAUUAUCUCUUUUUAUUAUGAGUUUUAAGCUCAAAAUCCUAUCAAUAUAAUUUUUUUUAGGUUUAAUAGCCAAUUUUGUCCCCAGUUUCGUUGACAAAUCUCGAUUUAGUCUCUCAUUUUAAAAGUGUUUGAAAUAGGUCAUCACUUUCAAAAUUUUGAUUCAAAUUAGUCCCUUCCAUUAAAUAUAAUCAAACGGCGUUAAUGGAAUGAUGAUCAAGCACAAUGCAAUGGUAACAUGUCAUUUUUUAUUUAGGACAUUUUGAUUUGUGCAAAAUAAGGUUAUGAAUUGUAGGGUUUUUUUAAUCCUAAUAAAUCUUAACCUUUCUUCUGAUGUUGAUUACCUUUUAUGAAUUUCUUAUGUAAUCAAUUUCAUAAAUGCUUCAUAAAUUCUCUUUCAGUGAUUUUAAUUAAGGAAAUCUAGACUCUCUUUUUUUAAUUAAGAAUCCAUUCAUGUUUAUGCAAUUUUAAUUAUUCAAAAAACCAUAAAUUAAGAACCCUAAUUAAAAUCGGAAAGGAAAAAUUCCCAAUUUGAAACCCUAAGCUUAUGAACCCUAAAAUUGGGAAUGAUUCAUGGCCUUCUGGAGUCGCACCUCUGUUUUGCAAAACUCACUCCAUCUCCUUCUGUGUUCUUCACCACGCUUAUGGCCUUUCACUACAAGAAAAAUCGUUGUUACAUACGGCUAAAAUCCGUAUAUAACCUCCAAAAUCCGUAUAUAAAGUGGUGUUAUAUACGGAUUACAUACAGCCAAAAAUCCGUAUAUAAUAAGGGUGUAGGUAAGGUUAUAUACGGAUAUAUCCGUAUAUAAAUUACAUAGGGAUAAUCCGUAUAUAAACUACAUACGGAUAAUCCGUAUAUAAACUACAUACGGAUAAUUUGUAUAUAAACUACAUACGGAUAAUCCGUAUAUAAAUUACAUACGGAUAAUUUGUAUAUAAAUUACAUACGGAUAAUCCGUAUAUAAAUUACAUACGGAUAAUUCGUAUAUAAUAUCCGUAUAUAAUUUAUAUACGGAAAAAUCCGUAUAUAAUAUCUGUAUAUAAUUUUCCGUAUGUAACUUUAUAACUUAUAUAAAAAAAAAUUAUACCACAUUUAAAUGUUUAUAACAGAAAAUAUGAUUGUUUAUUUUGAAACAAGGACAAUUAAAUAGUACAAGGAGAAGUUUAGAGAAUGAUAACAACAAACUAGUAAUAAAAAAUGUAAUAUAAUAUAUCUAUUUAAGAAAUACAAGAUACUUCUAAGAUGAUAUAUCAUAAUAGAAGUCCAAAUGGAUAUAAGGAACAUAAAAAGUAACCAGAAAAAUGAGUAGAAGUUUAAGUUUUAACUUUAUGUAUAUGCUCAUCGCAACUAUAGGAAAGAGUUCACCUUUCCUUACUUUUCUUCUACUUCAACACUGAAGACUCUGAAUGAGAUGACUGCAAUUCAAAGAUCUCCAAAGAUAUAUAUAGAAAUGGAGGGGCAAAAACAAAUCUAACUAUAUGCCAUUGACACGUUUCAUGCAGUAUCGGGUUAGGAGUAUGAGAUACAAAAUUUGUCCAUCAUUUGGGUAUGGAUAUGUUAAUACAAAUUUUUAAAAUAUGUACAUAAAAAAGAUAGAAUUAGCUAAUUGGAGUCCAAAACAAAAUUUCCAUGAAUUCCAACAAUGCAUUCAUAUACACCCUCAACUGCAAUAUUAGAGAUGGAUAACAUGCCACGUGGGAAGAAAGGAACAGAGAAAUUGUGAAAGAUUGGCACUUGGCUGGCAUACUUUCCAAUUCCUAUUUGAUCAAACAACACAAUCCUGAAAAAUAAAGAAAAGGAAUCAUGGACAGAUCAAAGAAUCUUAAAUCUAAAGAUUUAUGGUUUUAAGGAGGGAAAAUAAGUAAUUAACAAUGACAAUGAAGUUAACCUACAUCAUGCGAUAGAGAGAAGAACAUUCAUUGAGCUGAUUUACCCUCUCGUCAUCCUCAUCCACGUGAAUGCCUUGCGCGGUGCCAAUCGUUUUGCUUCGCUUUGGUUCUCCAGCAAUUGCUCCAUUUUAACAGUUGCGCGACGCGAGUUCAAUUUGAAGGUUUCCUCGAAGUUCCCUCCAGAGCGAGAAAGGAAACACUACAACCCUAGGGUUUAGGGUUUGUUCGGUGGAAAUCCUAAAAGGAGUAAGAACUCGAUUCUGGAUCGAUUAAACACUUGAAAAGAGAGAUUGAAUCGAUUAAUCGGUGUAAAACAAAGAUUGAACGGUGGAAAUGAAGGUUUAAGCGGUGGAAAGCAAAAAUAAUCGGUGAGAAAAGCUUUUAAACGGUUGAAAUUGAAGGAAAAGGAAAUAUGAUGGAGAAAACCCUAGGUUGAUGAAGAUGUUCGGAGAAAAGGCGAAAAACAUGAAGGAAGAAGAUGAAUCUGUAAUGAAAAUGAAACUUACGAAGAAGAAAGACGAGCUUCGACAAUGGAGGAACUCUUGAGCGAAGACUUUGACACUACCAUUCCAGUCGUGUCCACGUCAGUCUGAGAAUACGAGUUAGGAUUCGAGGUCUCCAGUCCCCUCAACCUUGUAGUGGAGCACGGGUUGGAGGCUAGGGUUCGAGGGGAGGGUAAUGCGGAAAAGGCAUUGGCAAUGUUGGUUAAGGUUUUAAUGGAGGCUACAGAAGGGCUGAAAAACAAUGGCUCGAUGAGAGGCAAGAACAAGAGCUCGAGAGGGAAGAAGAGGGGCUCGAUGGCUCAAUUAUAGGGAAGAAUAAGAGGGGGAAGCUCGAGAGGGGGAAGAAGAGGGGCUUGAUGAAAAAUUUCGAUGAGGAGAAAUUUUGAUUCCUGAAUCUAUCUCUUUAGGUUUUGUAUUAGGUUUAAUUUUUUAUUUAUUUUUUAUUAUUUAUUGUAAAAUCCUUACGUAACAUUGGUAGAUAAGGGAGAACCCACUUAUAUACCAAUUUUUUAUAUGGAUUUAUCUUUAGUAAAGCUUCUGCCAGAAGACUCCAUCAUUACAUACAGAUUUUACAUACGAAAAAUUCGUAUAUAAAUUUUUUUCUUAUUAUAUAUGGAAAAAUCUGUAUGUAACUCAUCCUAUAUAAAAUUUGUAUGUAAUGGAACUUUUAUCUACGGAUCAGAAUUCGUAUAUAAUAAUCUGUAUGUAAAUGAUAUUUUUCUUGUAGUGUUUGCAUUUUGUUUUCUAUUUCGAUGGUUUUCUUCUUCUCCAUUCGCGUCGUGGUGGUUUGGGUUUUCAAGUUGGUCUGUUUCGUCUUCGAUGGGGUUCUUGUGCAGCAAUGGUUGUCAGAGUUGCGAUAGUUUCCUCUGGUGAAGAUGCGACUCCUUCUUCGAUUGGCAACGUCUUUCAAUGCCAACGCAGAAACAACGUUGGUCUUCGCUCGUGAAUGACAGCGGCUCAGACGCUUCUGCGAGAUCUGGUGCUUAACACCUGUUGGGUUGCUCGAGACAACAGGAGUCGCGUUGCGUAAUGAUGGCGCUACGUUACAGUGGUCCUCGCUCUCGCGAUGGCAGAGGCACAAUCAGUGGUAGUGUGUUCACUGGUUUCGUCUUGGGUCGUUAAACACUUCCUCAAGCAACUCCGGAAGAGGGAACACCUCUUCGCCAACCACAAACCACCACACUACUGCCAACAGAAAACACUCAAAUCGAAACCUAAAACAACAACAACAUAAACGAAAAGAAGAUAAACAAGAAGAGCAAUUGUAUUGUGUUUGCAUUGGAGGUGAACAACUUUAUGUAAGAUGGGUGAAGAACUAUGCCAUAAUCUCACAGAAAUGAAAAAUCCCUAAAAUCAAUUUUUCCCCAAUUUCAAAUACCCAAUCUUUAAUAUCCAGCUCAACUCUAACUUCGUAACACGUUACCACGCUUAUAAUUUAAAAACAACACGUCAUCACUGCAUUAUGCCAAAUCAUCACUCCAUUAACGUCGUUUAGUUAUAUUUAACGAAAAAAAUUAAUUUGAAUCAAAAUUUUGAAAAUAAUAAUCUAUUUCAAACAUUUAAAGGAGAGACUAAAUUGAGAUUUGUCAACGAAACUAAAAACAAAAUUGACUAUUAAAACUUUUUUUUUACAUGAGUAAAGUAUGUGUAUUUCACUCGAAAAUCUCCUACUUCUUUGAACUUCAAAAAGUCACAUUCUUACUUAGUGAACCCUCACAUAAAUAUUCACAGUUAGAAUUGCGAUAAGAACAACAAUUAAUAAAUCUGCAACGCAAAGCUAUAUUGGUAGAAACACCCAACAACAUUCACUAUUUUAAGUAUUUUUAAAUUGUCUCUAAUAUUGAAAUUUUAUGUAUUUAAAUCGAAAAUCAAGUAUAAAUAACAAUUCAUAAUUAUUAUUUGUUUUAAAUUUAAAUAAACUAAAAUAUUUAGUUUCUACAUAAAGGACGUCUCAACGACAACAUUACUUCAUUUUCUCCCUUAAAUGAUCGUUUUUAUCGAAUUAUUAUGAAUUUAUAUUGAAAAUAUAAAACUAGUAUUAAUAAAAACAAAUCUUGAUAGUUUUAUGUUUAAUAAAGUAAAAUAUUAAAAUUUUACGUAAAACAAUAUUUUUCAUUUUCUCUUCCCCAGAAAGAGGAUACACAACAAAAAUAUCAGAUAUAAAAUAUUAAAAUUUUACGUAAAAGCCGUUACAAUGGAGAAUUUUUCAUUUUAUCUUCCCCAGAAAGAGGAUACACAACAAAAAUAUCAGAUAAAUAUAAAUAAACCAAAAAGAAUUUCCAAAAUAUAAAAUAUAAUAAAAUACAGAUAAUUAUAACGUUCGUCCACCGAAAUUGUUGACAGCAACAAUCCAAACAAACUCAAAUGCCCCCAAAAAAUACACGUGGCAAUAAUAACAAAUCCGUAUCAUUUAAAAUGAAUAACCCGGUUCGUUUUACGGUUUCACUUUUUCAUGUUUAGCGAACCGCACAUCCGUGACGCGAGAACCCGAUCCGCGACCGGUGCAAAUCGAACUCAAACAAGUACCCUUGCUGCAUCAAAUUCCCAAUCACAGAAAAUCCAGAACCCGGUCGAACUGCCUGAACCGCGAGACACUUUACUCCAUCCACCGGCUCAAUAAAAUAAUUCCCCGCCGGCGGCGCCAGCACCGAUUUUCCGGCGAGGAAGAAUCUCAGCUUCGGCAGCCUCGGCCUUGUGAUGCCGGAGACGUUAACACAAAGGUCGAACCCGAGCGCGGCGGCUCCCUCCGCCGCAGGAAGCCUCACGCGCCGCCGGAACGCGGCUAAAACCUGCCUAUAAGCUGGCUCCGCUAGGAAAGAAAGCGUGGUGCCGGAGUCCAAGACGGUGCCUCCGUUUCCGUUAUCAUCGAUCCCCCAAACGGAAGGUUUUAUCGGUAACCUAAUGCCAUCGACGGAGACACUCUGGAUGAUGAUGUAAUAAAACGAGGGAGACAGAGGGUUAGUGACAAAAGGCGUGUAACUGAACAGCUUCCGCGAAAUGACGUCGUUUGAGGAGGCGCCGAUUGUAAGGUAGCUUUUUGGAGCCGGGGAUAGGGUGUAGUCGAGAAGACAGUAAGAGAAGGUGUUGCCAAAUUUGCGGCCAAGUUGGGAGGUAAACGAAAUGGGCCCGCGGCCCAGUCCCAUUACGCCCUGCGCGCCGUUGAAGCUGGAGCCUGUUACACUGGGGCCAGAGGUUUUAAACCCGCACCCGAAUGCCAGGUUUUUAAUUUUACCUUGUUUGUUGGAGCUGGUGUUGAACGUCGUCGUUUCCUUGGAGAAGAAGCCCGUUGUUGUGGACCCAUCCGCGUAGGAAUAUUCGUAGCGGCAGGGUGUGUGGAGUUUAGUGCGGUUGUUACAGUGUGUGGAUGUGGGGUGAGGAACGAAUCGACACGGCGAGUCGUAGCAGUGGUAGGAGGAGAAGCUUCUGGAAUGUCGGGGCAGGAAUGCGGAUCCGGGUCGCCUGGUGGAGCAGUUACGACAGGCGGAGCAUUUAACCCAGACAAGGUCGCUGCCGGUGUCGACUACCAGGAGGAGGCGCUGCGGCGGGGAUCCGAUGCGGAGGUCCGCAAAGUACUGCCCGGAGCCCAUGGCGGCGCCGGAGGUGAGCGGGGAUUGAGGCGAAGUACGGAGGCCGGAGAUGCGGUGGAGGUCGGCGGCGAGGAUGUUGGAGACGUUGAAGAGUGUUGUUCGAGGGACUAACGGUAGCUUGAGGUACUCGGUUGACGAAUGUGUAAGGGUGAGAAUGGUGAAGAAGAAGACGAAGAAGAGGAAAGAGUGGACUGAAGGAUACAUCGUUGAAUGAGAGAGAGAGAGAGAGAGAAAGGAGAGAGAGAUAUAAUGGUGAGUGCAGAAGAAUGAAAAUAAAAGAGAAAUGAAAUCAGAAGACGGUCGAUGCUACGCGAUUUUGGGUUCGAGGAUAUACGUAGAUAUACUUUCAUACGUACGUAUUUCCUCACAAUUUAAUUUUUCUUUACGUAUCUUUACUUUUACUUACAUAUUUAGAAAUGUAUUUUGAAAAAUAUGUUUAACGGAAACUUUUCUUGUGAUGAAUAGUGUAAAUUACAAAUGUAGACCGUAUAAUGAUGUCGCCAGAUCAACAUUAUAAGUUAUGUAAUGAUAUUUUACUGUCUGUUUAAUAUUUGUGCGUUUAAUAUAAAUGUGGACCAUGUAAUUUGUGUUUUGUGUGUUUAAUUACCCAGUUCAUGUAUAUCAGAAAAGUAAAAAAUAAUAAAUAAUAUAAAAAACAAAAAGUUAGAAAAUCUAUAAAAACUUAGAAACAUGAAAAUUUAAAAUUAUCUUAUAAUAUGUGUUUUAUAAUGGUUAUGAACAUAAAAAUUUGAUAUAUGGUUGCAAUUAAAAAUGAAAUUUUAAGUUUAAAUCAAUUCUUGUAAAAUUUGAUUUGAAGUAAUUUUAUUUUUUAUUGAUGAAAGACUUUCAAUAUAUAAAAUAUAUUCGAUUGGAUAUUAACGAAUGAUUUAAUAGAUUUUAUUUCAUAAAUUUAAAAUUAAACUUUAAAUUUAAUUUAAUUUUAAAAAGCAAUUUAUAAGAUAAAACUUAUAUUCAUAUAUAUUUUAAAUUAAAUUUAUCUAUGUGGUAUUUUUAGCAUCAAUUUAAAUUUAAAAUUUGUUAAAAUAUAAAAAAAAAAUAGAUAAUUACUGAGAGAUUUCAUUUUUUUAUAGUGUAUUUUCAAUUUUGGAGAAUUUUAAAAAUGUGUAUGUAAGAAGAGAAAAAAUAUAUUAUAUAUAAUAUUAAGUAUUAGUAGCUAAAUUAAUAAAGUUGAAGUGAGUGUAAUAGUGGAGGGAAUAGAAAGUAAAUUUUUGUGUGGUCUUUAGGCAUUGUUGGAUGCAUGAUGAUUGUCUUUGUGCCAACUUUGCAUCCAAUAGGUAUGAGCCACGUGGUAUUUCCAGCUGUUUUUUCCUUUAUUCUUUUUACGAUGUUGGUUUUGUGUCAUGAUCGCUUUCCUUUUGGCACAGAUGCUGCAUGUGUUCAGUGACUGUGACAAUGUUGUCUUUUGCUUUAUUUUGGCUAUUUUUUAAUGACACUGUCUCACAUGAGAUUAACACUGUUAUCUCAGACAUGUAACUUUGUCUUCAUUCAAAACUGCGUUACGGGGAGAAACGAACACGCCCAACAACAACACUACUCCAUCUAAUUACGGAUCACAUUUUUAUCACCACUUGUCAUAGUCAUUGCCAUACCCAUUAAUGACCUUUUAUUUUUGAGGUUACUAUUUAUUAAUAAAAAAACAUUACGUAAGACAUACACUUUUAUACAUAUUAACUUUGCCACUGAAAAAGCAGCAUUUGUAACAAUAAAAAUAAUAAUAAUAAUAAUAAUAAUAAUAAUAAUAAUAAUAAUAGUUUAAUGUUUGCUUGUAAUGUAGUGUGAAAUCAAUGUAAAAAUAUUUCAUCACUCUUAUGAAAAUAAGCAUGUGAUACUAGAAAAAAUUAUAAAUAUUUUUUUAUUGAAGGUUUUGAUGUCUACAUAUAUUAUUUUCCUUGAAAACGAUGAAGUUUGUAUGGUUUGUGACUGGUGCAAAGGUUCACGUGCCCAAGGUUGUUAAGAUUCUAAACUUCUUUUGUCUUGGGCUCUUGAAAGUUGUCUCAAAUCUUAUAUUUGAAUAAGCUUAUGCGAAUUUAACAUGGAUUUGUAUGGUGCCAUCUUUGCAUUUGUUUAGGUUUCUGCAUACUCUUAGAUCAGAACCCACCUAGUAGAUAUAUAGAUUAAAAUCUUUUGUCUUUUUCAUAAUUUUUUAACAAUGUUAAUUUUAUUCAAUGCUCUUGUGUUAUAUUAAACUAUGAAAAACACACAAAAAUAGAAACAUUCAAUUUUAAUUGAAUCCACACUUGCUAAAAUUGAGAAUAUAUAUAUAUAUAUAUAUAUAUAUAUAUAUAUAUAUAUAUAUAUAUAUAUAUAAAUUUUAUAUGAUUUAAAAUUCUUUAGAUAGUUAUCAUCACCAUAUAUUCAAAAUAAAUUACAAGUUUUAUCACUAUUCACAAAUAAGAGUAUAAGUUGAUGGAAACUGGAUAAAGUAUGUUUCACCAAACUUAUAUACAAAAUCUCUUCACCUUAUUUACUUAAACUAAUGCAAGCACAGGUACACAAGUCUUUCCAAUCAAAGUAUGCAAACCUUCUUUAGAAGAUAUAACAAUUAAAUGUUGUUUGAAAAUAAAAUUUACAUUAUUAUAAGGAGGAUAUGAAAUAUGUUUUUUUUUUUUUUUAAAUACUUCACAAUUGUGAAGAGUUUACAAUUAAGUUUUCUCUUUAUAUCUUAGUCGCAUAGAAGAUGAUUUAUAGAAAUAGUAGUAACGGCUUUACACUUUUUGACAUCCAUGUUUAACAUACUUGUUAUAUCUUUCUACUUUCUUAUUUGUUUAGCAUGAUUCUGCCUCCAUAUAUAGGUGAUGAAACACAAUAAUUAAAGGUAGUGUGAGCUUUAAAUAAUUUAUUGUUAGAGUUUCUUUUACAGGAUUAUGACUUUAUAUCGACACCUUCUUGAAUUAUGAUGAAGUUGAAACACAUGUCUUUAACUUUGAGUUUUUCUGCAUUAAAAUACCAAAAAGAGAAUUCUCACAUUUAUAAUGUGUACUUAUGUUAGCAUCCUCACAAGAAGUAUUUAUAUCAGUCUAAACGAUACCAUGAGCUAAACUAUUACUUCGUCCAAUGAUGAAGUAUUUACUCAACACUUGGUAUCUUUAGAAGAAAAUCUUAAUUCUUAAAUGCUAACUCAACGGUAGGAAAUCAAAAAGCACUUUGUUGUUCUAAUUAAGCAUUAGAUGACAUUAAAUGCUCAACAUUCAAAAACAACAAAAGUGAUGAGAGAAAAGAGAUAUUUGUUGCAUGUAUAAUCUACUUUAUUCCUUGCAGAUAACUUGCUUUACACACAUCCACAAGCUUCAAAUUAAAAUAUCAAAAGUGGACAUUAGAGAUAAAAGAGAUAUUCACAUAAUGUUCUUCACCUAAAGUAGUGUCCAAAAGAGAGUACAACCUACUUCAAGCAAAGUACUGAAAAAAAAAACAUGUCUAUUUUGACAAAUUGACUUUAACCAACAACUGUUGUAAACGGAGAAAGAGAAGACACGAGAAUCAAGGCCAAGAGCUUAGUCUAACAGACACUUAUCCAAAAGCCUUUAAAUAGAAGAUCAAAAGAAAAGAACAAAAAGAGUUCAAGAAAAAAAAAUAUCUAAGUAGAAAAAAGGGAAGAAGAGAAAAGAAGAAAGGCAAUACUCUCGAUCUUCAUUGUAAUAUUGCUUACUUACUAUAAGAAAGAAAGAAAGAGGAAAGAGAGAAACACCUGUAAGUGUUUAGAUUACAUUGUAUUGUAAUUACAUCCUCUCUACGAGAGUAAUAAUCUGAACGACAUGUAAGCAAUCGUUGAUUGCAAUUUUGAAGAAAUUAAAACACUUGUUGAAACUCAGUUGAGUUAACGAAAUCUAGGCAAGGUUGCUUAGUACCAAGAUUGGUGCGAAUACUCAUCUAGUCUAGAAUAACAGGAGGUUAUUCGCUAACUGAGGAGACCAUGAGUGGUGAGAAUACUUAUCCAAUCUAAGUUAACAGAAGGUUACUCAUUGAUUGAGAAGACCAAGAGUGGUGUGAAUACUCAGUUGUAAUCUUGUUGAAGAUUAUGGUGGAACCCUGUGUGAAGGAGAUUGGACGUAGCUCAACUUGAGUGAACCAUUAUAAAAAUAUUUAUGCAAUUAUCUCUUCUCUUGACUAAACGCUUCUUUUAUAAAGCCUGCAACUGAGUUUUUAUUUCUAAAUACAAGAACCUUCCUCACCGAACAAUUAUUCUUCAACAAAGAAAUUUCUUACAAACUCUGCAGUGUACAUUCUGAAUAGCACACUAAAAGCAAUUAUCUCUUAUAAUCAUUUAUUAGGUUGAGUGUCUAAGCAUUUAUAAAAAAAAAAAAAACUCAAAACUCAACAACGUGCUAUAUCAGAAGGGUUACGAAAAGAAUUUAACAAACUGAACCUUAGACACACCAUUUAAGGACAUGAACUCAAAAUCAGAAAAGGGGAGAAGGUCUAAUAGAAUGAGAGGGUUGAAACCAUAUACAAUAUGAAAAGGAGAAUUGGAGGAGGAAGAGUUGACAACCUUAUUAUAAGAAAACUAAAUAUGGGGUAGCAAAUCUUCUCACUGGCAUGGAUUGCCCUCAAUACAACAUCUCAAUAGUUGCCCCCAAAGUUCUAUUAGACACUUCAGGUUGACCAUCAGAUUGUUGAUGACAAGUGGUAGAGAAAAGGAGUUUAGUAUUUAACUUAUUCCACAAAGAUCACUAGAAAUGACUAAGGAACUUGGAAUCUCUAUCAAAAAUUAUAGUCUUAGGCAAACCAUCUAGACGCACAACCUCUCUAAAAAAUAAAUUAGCAAUAUGGACAAUAUCAUCUACUUUGUGGCAUGGAAUAAACUGAGCCAUUUUUGAAAAUCGAUGCGCUACCAUAAAGAUAGAGUUCAUCCAUCGAUGUGUUCUAAGUAAGCCUAAAACAAAAUCCAUAGAAAUAUCAACCCAAGGACUAUUAAGAACAGAAAGAGAAGUGUAUAAGCCAUGAGGAUAGGUGGUAGACUUAACAUGCUUGCUUGGAAUGCAUUGGCUACAAAACUUAGCUACAUGUUUAUGUAUGUGAGGCCAAUAGAAAUGCUCAUGAAGAAUAACUAAUGUUUCUUCAACCCCAAAGUGUCUCAUCAAUCCCCCCUUAUGUGUUUCUUUAAUUAAGAGAAGACGUAAUGAAUUAUUGGGUACACAAAGGAAUUUGUUUUGGAAAAGGAAGCCAUUUGCUAAGAAAAAAAAAUCCUUGUGUGGCCCAUGAGAACAUUGGUCAAAUGAAGAGGAGAAAUAAUUAUCUUCUUGAUACAAUUCCUUUAUGUGAUCAAACCCAAGAAAGUUGGUUUCAAGAGUAGUCAAAAUAGUAUGUCUUCUUGAUAGAGCAUUGACUACUAUGUUAGAAGAACCUUUCUUGUGUUUGAUAACAUAUGAAAACUAUUCCACAAACUCUACCCAUUUAGCAUAUCUCUCAUUGAGUUUGCCUUGUUCAAUACUUUGGAUAUGGUAUGUUAUCCUCUUAAUUCUCCAUUUGAAUGAUCUUCUAUUUAAAGGCUUUUUGGAUAAGUGUCCAUUAGACUAAGAUCUUGGCCUUAAUUCUUGUGUCUUCUCUUUCUUCGUGUACAACAUCUGUUGGUUAAAGUCAACUAUGAAUAUUUCUUUUGUCUUUAACGUCUACUUUUGAUUUUUUUAAUUUGAAACUUGUGGAUGCGUGUAGAGUAGCUUAUCUACAAAGAAUAAAGUAUAUUGUGCAUGCAGCAAAUGUCUUUUCUCUUAUCACUUUUGUUGCUUUUGAAAGUUGAGCAUUUAAUGUCAUUUAAUACUUUCUUAGAACAACAAAGUGCUUUUUGAUUUUCUACCGUUGAGGCAGCUUUUAACAAUUAAACUUUUCUUCUAAAGAUACCAAGUGUUGAGUAAAGACUUUAUCGUUAGACGAAGUAAUAAUUUAGCUCACGGUAUUUUUUAUGUUGAGUAAACGCUUCUUGUGAUUUUUCCUCUUUUUAUAGAUAGCGUUUAACAUUGUUUGUGUUUUCUUUGGUGUUUUAAGUUUUAAUCUUUUAGAGUGUUUUUGUCAAUGACAUCGUCUUAACAUUGUUUCGUUUUUCCAAGAGUUAAAUUGAAUACCUUUUGGGUAUGAUAAGUUUUACGUGUUUAGCUUCAACUAUCUUAGACACUUUGGACUUAUCAAUUGUUUAGCGUGACGUUUGGGAAUUUUGACUCAGUUGUUUUUUUGUUUCCUAAAGUCCUAAAUGCUUUCCUAAGGUUUUUCUAUGUCAACUAUGAAUAUUUCUUUAGUUCUAAGUCUUAUGUUUCUUCUUAUGUUAUUUCCAGAUUAUUAUUCUGUUUAAUGUUAUUUGAUUAAACUUCAAAACAUGAGAGCGUUUAGGCACAUAGACGAUUUUGUCUUAACAAGUUUAUUCAUUUUUGGUUCAACACUAGUCUUCCUUACUAUAUCGUUUAACUCAACUAAACUAAACAACUAAGUGUUUUUAUUCUCUUCAGAAUUUACAAACAAAAUGAAGGUAUUUUAGAAAAAAAAAAGGUACAAAUCAAAGCUCUCAGAGAGAGUAUGUUUUCAAUACAAUGAAAUUUGAAGACUUGUAAAAAAAAUUCUUAAACAAAGAAAGCAUUAGACGAUGGAAGCUUAGAUACAAAAGAACAACGUAAGAGUCAAAGAUAAAUUCUUGUAUUAUUCUCUUCAUCUAGUCCUCUUUAUAUAGUCUUCUUCGUGAAAGAUAUGUUACUCAAAGAGAAAUGACUUCGAGGAAAGCAGGUAGCCUUUAGGUAUGGAGUUAGGUACAUGGUAGCGCUAGAGCAAUAGUGCUUUUCGCAGAGGUGGUGCGUACGACUUCCUCAAAGCAAAAAACAUUAAGGAAACAUUCUAAAAAUGUCUUCCUAUCUCUUAACACCCUAUUGAUCUUGUACAAAACUUUUGAAUGAAGCUUGGUAUUAUCAUGAUCUGGAGAGAUAAAGAAAAACAAAGCACCAUAGACAAAAAGUACAAAUCGUACACGCAUUUAAUGUUAUAAAUGUUGUAGAACGUUUAGGCAUAUUUACUACUAAGUGUUUAGGUUUAGCGCACACAUUUGUGCUUUUGAGUAACAAAGCAUUUACAAGAUACAACAUUUAAUAAAAGUUUUGUCUUAAACAGUUUAAAAUGUUAAACACAUUUUCAUCCCACAUUGUUUGAUUUAUAUAAAAUAUUAUCCAAGUUCAACAUAAACGAUUUGCUCACAUUGUUCAACAUUGUUUUUAUCAAACAUAUCUUUCAGACAAUUUAAGCUAUAAACGUUAUUUCAUUAAAGUUCAUUUGUUAAAUUUUAAAACAAGAGUUGUUAGAUAUUUUGUGUCUCUAAAUGAUCUUUAUCUUAUUGUUUGUGAAUACACUCUGUAAUAUUUAUCAAUCUUCAUUUAAGAUUUAAUUACAUCAUGUUUUUAAUAAAUAUUUUUUUCAAAAGACUAUAAAAAGAUAAAAUUCUAUUAAACAAUUGAUCUCUCCCCUUUCACCCAUGAUUUGGCUUAGCUAUAAAUCAUUUUUCAACAUUACAAAUGUUGUGAUAUAAGUAUUGGAAAUUUGUUAUGACGAAAGUAUUGUGAUAAAAGCUCUAUAAAAUUGUUUUGAGAAAUUAUUUUAAUAAUAAUAUGUAUGAAUAUGUGAUAUGUGAAUAUUGAUUUGUGUAUGUUUACAAAUUACAUAAAAAGUUUUACAUUAAAAUAAGUUUGCAAUAGAGAUGAUUGAUAUGCAUUGUGAAUUAUGCUUGUGACAAAGAUUAUUGGUAUGUUUUGUUAAAUAUGUUUAUCAUUGGUAUAUGUUGUGAAACAUGAAAAACAUAAUUGGUGCGUAUUAUGAAAUGUGAUGAAAUUUGUUGUAAAAUUAUGAGAAAUAUUGGGUGCAAUAUUCAGAAUCAUAUAGGUUAUAAAAAAUAUUGAUUUGAAUGUCUGAUAAAUUAAUUUUAAAGUUAUGUUCCAGUUAUUAUAAUAGUAAUUGAUUUACUGCAUGGUAUUAAUUGUCUUAAGUUUAUUAUUACCUUAAUUAUUUGUUGUACGAUUGAUUGAAGGUAUGUAUGAAAAAUCAUGGAAUUUAUCUUAAUUAAAUGUCAGUGAUGAGUAUACGACACACCCUUAACUUUGUGAAACGGAGAGAGCUACAUUAUAUUUUAUUCUAAUAAUAUUAUUCACAAUAAAUCAUUAUCAUAGUUUAUUGUUAAAAGUCGUGUAAUUGAUUAUGAAUAGUAAAAAUAUCAAUCCUCCAACGUUUCGCUUGAGACAAUUCCUUUAAUUAAAGGUAAAAUAUAAAUGUAACUUAUAAUUUUUUUUUUCAAUAAAACAAAAUUACAUAAAAUAUCAAACUAUUUUUUCUUAGUCUGUUGAGGGGAGGGAAUGAUGAAAAAUAUGUUUCCGUUAACAUAUUCAUAAAUGGUUUACAACGGAAAACAUAGUUCAAAAUUAACACAUGUAACUGCUAUGUACAAAUGACCAUUGCCAAGUCCAAUGUCACAUACGUGUUUUAGCUUUCUAGCGCCUUACAGUCAGUGAAGCUCCCUUUUUCUUGCCUGAUAUCAUAGCAGCAUGUGACCAUGAUGAUGGCUUAAAGCCACCAGCUAGAAGACUGGAGGCUGAAGUUGCACAAAUUUUUCUUCUUUUUGAUUCUAGAUCUUGUCUUCUCUUAUCAGACAUAGAAUAGCUAGACACUCCAGAGAAAAUGGAUUCGGCAUUGAUCACUGCCCUCUUGUCCUUCCUAUUCUUUUCAAACUUUGUUGGAAACUUCACUCUUUUUGCUGUGGCAGAAUCUUCUUCAGUAGCUGGUAGUAGUCUUAUGCCAAGGCCUAUUUUCUUGGAAGCAUUCUCUUCUUCAGCAACUCUUUUCUUCUGACUCUGAGAAAAUGGACAAGUGUCAACCUAUAUUUCUUUUCUUUAGAGCAGGCUUGAAAUAUUAUUUACAAAAGAAACAAUAUACUGAUUCUGGUUAAAAAUGGAAAAGGAAUAGAAAACUAAACUACAACAAAUAUCAUGAGCCAAAGAGUACAUACUCUAAGCCGGGCCCGUAGAGUCUUAUUGAGAGCAUAGUCAUCUGAAUGCCUGUUAUCAGACUGCCUCUGGAGACGUACAAGCACUGGUUCAGAUUCCUUCUUUUUCUUCAAGUCUUCUUCCUGGUGUUCAAGGCGGUAAAAUGGAUCUGCAAGCUUACCCCUUUCUGAAAGGAAAAUUAAAUAUGAACAUAGUUAGCUAACUUUAUCGACAACAUUUCAGUUCGCUAAACAUGGUCAAAGGCAAAAGGCAAAAAAGGGUAUAGCACUAGAUUUAGAAGAGAAAAAAUUCCAUCCACUAAAAUGGCCAUUGGCCACUGGAUCUGACAGUAUGCUCUCCCUGCUUCUGAAACAAAGUUGAUGACUACAUGCACUAACACAUUCAUGCUAGCUGAAGAAAACACAUACUGCUAAAAAAUACUGUAAUAAACAGCUUUACAGGGAGUCAAUUCAAAAGUUUUGGCAUCCUCAAUAUCAAAAUCUUCAGUUUAAGAAAGCAUGCACUGCUAAAUUUUCACUAAUACUGUAACACACCUUCAUCGGCAGGCAAUUCAAAAGUUUCAGCAUCUUCAAUAUCAAAAUCUUCAGUUUUUUUCUGGGCCCCACUAAUAAUGACAUAUUCACAAUUCUUAGGAUCAGUCUGAAUGACGAUCUCAUGUUUGCAGCAAGCAGACUUCAUAGAGAAGCUCCAUAUCUGAAGGACCAAUAAACAUUUAUUAGAUAGUUAACAAGAAAACUUAGGUGGAACAUUACUAGAUGAGGGAUAAAUAGUGUACAAGCAAACAAAAAGGUAUAAGGCAAUCAACACCCACAUAAUAGUGGCAAACUAAACAAAAUAUAACUAUUCGUAAGAUAUAUCAGGUCCACCCUUUAAAUACCAAAAUGAUACACUUAAUCACAUCCACUGAAAAAAUAAUUUAAAUUCAAAUGCAUUUGAAUUCAACCUUAACAUACCUUUGUUGAGUAAUAAUUCCCAACUUGCUUUUUCUCUGCAUUGAACCGAACACCCUUUGCAAUCAUUGAAUUGCAUCCUCCACACCAUAUAUUAUAAGGCAUCUCAAAUCUGAAAGUAGUUUAGCCAGAUGAUGUCAAAUUAAAUAUUAAAGAAAAAAAAUAUCAACAUGGUAUCUUAAGCAAACCAAUUUAAAAAGAGUUAAACGAAUGAGAAAUGCAACAACAAAUUUUCCUAGCUUCCAUAAACACCAGACCAUUUAGGUAUCUUGGAUCUAUCAUACAAACUGAUAAGUACCCGAACACUUGGAAUGUAGUGGGACACAUAAUUGGGAUCCUUUAUUCACCAAUGGCAAACAGUUAAUAUGACUAAAUGGUUUCUGCAGCUACUUCUGAUUACCUUAUAAUCAGGAUACCCUGAUCUAGUUUUCUCGCCCUCUCCCGCAAGGCAUGCUGACCAUGAAACUUGUUCAGCGAACCCUGAAAAGGUAGAAAGUUUAUUAGUCUCUUGAUACUAGACAACUGUUGAGUUACAGGAGAGCUUAAUUAAACCUGUUAUUUAAACAUACCUGACUCGGUUCCCAUUCUGGAGGAUAGUAAAAGUUGUCUGCUCUAGCAGCCGCAAGCGAAGACUGAAACAAUCCAAUCAGAGCAAAUUCAGUAUACCAGGAAAUUAACGCACACCAAAUUGGCCAAUACAUAAGAAGCACCAAGAAUCCCUCUUAAGCCGAAAAACAAAAUUAAAACAGACAACCAUUAAGCCACAAACCAAUCAAUUGUAUUACGAAAGAAAAAUCCAUAGUUUUCUCAAGAAAAGCAGUUAUAUCAAACACUAAUACACGUACAUAUUAGCCACAAACAUGUGCCAUCAGCUUACAGUUAUCAAUCCCCUUUUACAAAAUUCGACCAUGAAAAAGAACGAUUUUCAAUGUACAGAUUGAAUUACUACAAUUAAAGGUUCUCAACACAACAAACAAGAACACAAAUAAAGCAGUUUAAUCCAAACAGAAGAUACAUAAUUGAAUCCAGAAAUUAAGAAGCACGUAAUACAACAAACCCUAAUUGUGAUCGUAUAACCAUAAAACGAAAAAAAAUUUAAGAAUAACAAAAUUCGAACCAUUGCUGUUUAUCUUCUUCAGAGAUUAUGAAGCUUUUCCCGCGGAAUCUAAGAUUCUUCGCUGAUCAGAAAAUUUCGAUCGGAAUAAAAUUUGUCGUUCUAAGAUGUAGUUGAUGAUAAAUAGUAUUGGUCUAAUAUAUCGGGUCGGGUGAUGUGAUUACGUGACCCGAUUUUUUUUCCUGCCACAAAAACUAGUCCAAAAUAGUCUCAUUUGAUCCAUUAUAUCCUUUCCUUUCAUUAAAAUCAAAUGUACUUUGUAAAGAAAAAUUAGUAUUGUUUAUUGUUUAGGACUAAUCAUAAUUUUUCCUAUUUUUUCAACAAUUUUAAUUUCUUAAUUUUUAAUUUUUAAUUUUUAAUUUAUAUAAUUUUAGACUCUAAUUUUUAUAUAAUUUUUGUUUUAUAAUUUGUAAUCAUAACUAACUUUGAUAAAUUUUUUAAAAAAUCCACUAUUAAAUUAAAUAUAAUAAAUCAUACAACAAUUAUUAUUUUCAAUAUCAUGCAAUAUAUUGCGACUAUAAUGUGAUAAUAGUACAUAAUUACUAAAUAAAACAUUAAAAUUUGAUAAUACAUAAGAUAUACUUAUGAAACAUAUAUAAUAUUAAUACAAUUAUUCAUUUUAAAAGUUAUAAAUGCAAUACGUAUAGUACACAUCAAAAGAAAACUAGAAGAGUUUUUCAAGAAGAAAGAAACUCUUAAUACAACUAACUAAAUAAAACUAAAUAAUCAUUUUAUCUCACUCUUGUCUUCCACUAAAGGUAUAUCAUCACCUAACUUACCAUUUGUUCACACCGUGAAGUAAUCAUCACAAAAGAGUAACAAAUCACAAAAGAAAAAAACAAGAUAAGCUAGUGCCCAAAAGAAACAUCAUAAGACAACUUAAUCAUAUUAAAUACUAGCUCAACAUUGAUAAAGUACCAAAACUCAUAUAAACACACAUAAACAAUUGAUUAUAAACUCAAUUUUUCGGAUACAUGCCUUUGACAUAGGGCUUCACGGUAGGUAUCCACUUAUAAUAGUAUUUAUGCUCUACAGAGCCAUAAACACAAGGUUAUCACCUUACUACUCACAAAGUUAGCCUCGUUCGCACCAAAGACCAAAAGUCUAGGGCUAGGACUUUUGCCAUUGUCUCCUGUCGCGACCUUACCAAUGAACUUACCGAAUGAUAGAUAAUUAUCGACGGAUAUAUCCUUCGGUAAUUACUGACUGAUUUAUCUGUCGAUAAUUACUAAAAAAUGUGUCCAUCAGUAAUUACGGACGAUCUAUAUUUGUCGAUAAUGAUUAUAGACAAUGAAACAACCGAUGAAUUCUUGACCGCCGAAAAUUAUAUAUUAUCAACAGAAAUUGAUUAUUUUCAACGGAUUAUGUCCGUUGUUAAAUAUUUUUUUGUAGUGUUGGUAAAGAACCUUAUAUUCCUUUAUUGAAGAUUUAACCAGGAUUGAAAAUUUAUCUUCAACAAAUAGUCUUUUGCGCACACCAUCAAUCUUCAUUCUUUUUAUUAAGAUUAUGAAAAUUAGUUAAAAACACAGCAUCAGGUCUCAUUUUAGUUGUUAGGACUAAAAGAGAAAUACCAUACUCUAUGCUCUUAAUUUUGUAAACAUAACUACCAUUUAAUGGAUAGAAAUAGAUAUUUAUACCUGAUAAUUAUGACAUAAAAACUAUUAUAAUUAUAACUACUAUUUGAAUCACAUCCUUUUAUUUAUGACUUUACUAUUAAUGUUGUUAAAACAAAUCAUCCGCUUCAGCCCGGUUCCACUCACCAUACGUUGGUUAGCCAACCUAACCUGAUUCAUUUAUUAACGAGUCAAAAAAAUUUAAAUCCGGCCCGGUCCACGGAUUGGUGGAUUAACUUAAUUAAAGUUUUUUUUUAAAUAAAAAAAACUACAAUUUUUUUUGUAAUUCAAAUUUAAAUAAUUUCGUGUUAAACUCUAAAGACAAUUCAAAAUAAAAAAAAUUAACAUAUAAUCCAAAAUUGAUAAUAAGUUUAUAAAAUUGAUAAGUUUUGUGUCAUUUAUCCAUUUAUAAGAUUAGAGUCUUGAAUGGAUAAAUUUAUAAUAUUUUGUUUUUUUGAAACAUCUUUUUCUUUAUUCUCAUUUACAAUACAAUUAAAAAGAUGUUAACUAAUGUUAAAUAUAGUGAAAAUUAUGUAUUGGAAUUAAUCCCUUGUGUUAAAUACACACAUAGGGUUCUCUAUUUAUAAUAGGAGAAAUAUGGGCUAAGCCCAAAUACAAAUGAAUAUGUAAGAAUAAAAUAAAAUAAGANNNNNNNNNNNNNNNNNNNNNNNNNNNNNNNNNNNNNNNNNNNNNNNNNNNNNNNNNNNNNNNNNNNNNNNNNNNNNNNNNNNNNNNNNNNNNNNNNNNNNNNNNNNNNNNNNNNNNNNNNNNNNNNNNNNNNNNNNNNNNNNNNNNNNNNNNNNNNNNNNNNNNNNNNNNNNNNNNNNNNNNNNNNNNNNNNNNNNNNNNNNNNNNNNNNNNNNNNNNNNNNNNNNNNNNNNNNNNNNNNNNNNNNNNNNNNNNNNNNNNNNNNNNNNNNNNNNNNNNNNNNNNNNNNNNNNNNNNNNNNNNNNNNNNNNNNNNNNNNNNNNNNNNNNNNNNNNNNNNNNNNNNNNNNNNNNNNNNNNNNNNNNNNNNNNNNNNNNNNNNNNNNNNNNNNNNNNNNNNNNNNNNNNNNNNNNNNNNNNNNNNNNNNNNNNNNNNNNNNNNNNNNNNNNNNNNNNNNNNNNNNNNNNNNNNNNNNNNNNNNNNNNNNNNNNNNNNNNNNNNNNNNNNNNNNNNNNNNNNNNNNNNNNNNNNNNNNNNNNNNNNNNNNNNNNNNNNNNNNNNNNNNNNNNNNNNNNNNNNNNNNNNNNNNNNNNNNNNNNNNNNNNNNNNNNNNNNNNNNNNNNNNNNNNNNNNNNNNNNNNNNNNNNNNNNNNNNNNNNNNNNNNNNNNNNNNNNNNNNNNNNNNNNNNNNNNNNNNNNNNNNNNNNNNNNNNNNNNNNNNNNNNNNNNNNNNNNNNNNNNNNNNNNNNNNNNNNNNNNNNNNNNNNNNNNNNNNNNNNNNNNNNNNNNNNNNNNNNNNNNNNNNNNNNNNNNNNNNNNNNNNNNNNNNNNNNNNNNNNNNNNNNNNNNNNNNNNNNNNNNNNNNNNNNNNNNNNNNNNNNNNNNNNNNNNNNNNNNNNNNNNNNNNNNNNNNNNNNNNNNNNNNNNNNNNNNNNNNNNNNNNNNNNNNNNNNNNNNNNNNNNNNNNNNNNNNNNNNNNNNNNNNNNNNNNNNNNNNNNNNNNNNNNNNNNNNNNNNNNNNNNNNNNNNNNNNNNNNNNNNNNNNNNNNNNNNNNNNNNNNNNNNNNNNNNNNNNNNNNNNNNNNNNNNNNNNNNNNNNNNNNNNNNNNNNNNNNNNNNNNNNNNNNNNNNNNNNNNNNNNNNNNNNNNNNNNNNNNNNNNNNNNNNNNNNNNNNNNNNNNNNNNNNNNNNNNNNNNNNNNNNNNNNNNNNNNNNNNNNNNNNNNNNNNNNNNNNNNNNNNNNNNNNNNNNNNNNNNNNNNNNNNNNNNNNNNNNNNNNNNNNNNNNNNNNNNNNNNNNNNNNNNNNNNNNNNNNNNNNNNNNNNNNNNNNNNNNNNNNNNNNNNNNNNNNNNNNAAUAAAAUAAGAACAAUGUUUCCCUAAUAAACAUAUAGGGACUAUAUUUCCCUAAUUAACAUAAACACAAUAUAAACUAAAUAUAAUAUCUCUAACAACUAAUAAUAUUGAAACACAAAACAAUAAAUAAUUAGAUUAAAUUAGGUGGGUUGGUGAGCCACGGAUUUAAUCCAGGUAAACCGGAUUCUAAGUGAGCCGAGUUAAAAAUUGACUUAUAUAAAAUCAUUUGUUUCCCAAAACCAACGAACCCGUGAUGGGUCGAAUUGAUCCAAGGGUUCGAACCCAUUUUGGCAUUACUAUUUACUAAUACUAUAUGUUUAUAAUUAAAUAUUUACAUUUUAUUUUUGUUCUUUUUCAAUAUUUAUUUCUAAUAUAUUUCUAUAUGAUUAGAAUAUAUGUUAAAUUAUCAAUUAUUAAUUUUUCUAAUUAUAUACUCAUAUUAUAUAUUUUUAUUAUGUAAUACUCAAAUUAAAAUUAAAAUUAAAAUUCUCACAACCUCGUUAAUCUUUUUAUGUAUUUUUCUCCCUUCACUUCUUCCACAAUCUUUUUAUGUAAUAAGGGGCAUGCAGGAAGAAAAGCCUUUAUUAAUUUGUUCAUGCAGGCCAGGAGGCCCAAAGCAAGGGGCCCAAAUAAGGACGGAAAACAUUAUGACAUGUGUAAGAAGUAACCAGUGUUGUGUGUGAAGAAUACAUGUGUCUUGCUUGAGUACAUGUUGGUUAGCUGAGAAAGAACUGAGAAAAUCCUAAUCUAUGGGCGCGGUUUCAUCCUUCUCGUUUCCACCUCUAAUCGGAACCUCAAUUUCUCGUUCCUCAAAGUCUCGUCUCGUCGUUGCGGCUUCCGAGGGCGGUGCCUCUUCCUCAGCCACCAAAUUGCUCACUUUUCUCGGCAAAGGUGGCUCAGGCAAAACCACCGCCGCUAUUCUCGCCGCCCAGGUACAUUGUUCAUCUUCAAUUACGUUUACAAAUUAAAACUCGUCUAACGUUUCCUUCUUUUUUCUGAACAUUUUUGUUUCCUAUCAUCUCAAUGUGCUUAGAAAAAAGAAAAAAAAGGAUUAAUAGUUUUUUUUUUCCUACUGCAUUACCAUGAUUUUUUUUUUCAAUUUCAUCUUAAAAUGUUUAAAAUUGUUUUUUUUAAUAAGUUAAUAUAAUAUUUUUAUAAAAUUCAUUUCACUUAAGUUAUUCAUGUAACUUGUUACUGUCAGAGAAUUACAUUUACUGAUUUUUUUUUUUGUUAAAAAGUGAGAUUGAAUUGAAAAAAAAAAAAAAAAGACUUAGGAUUAAAAUGCUAUUAAACCAAAAAAGAAAUAUAAAAAUGUAUCCCAAACUAAGUAGACUCCUACUUUCUUUUUCCAAAGUAUAUACUGAUAGAAGUCGUAGUUAUCCAAGUUCGUCCUUGGAAAAGUAAUUAAUCUACAUUUUAAUUUUUUAUUUCAUGUACCUUUGUUUCAGCAUUAUGCUUUGGCUGGGUUGAAUACAUGUUUGGUCAUACAUGGCCAAGACACCACUGCUGACUACCUUCUCAACUGUAAGAUUGGAACUUCCCAUAUCGCCUGCAGCAAGAACCUUUCUGCCGUUAGGUUGGAAACAACCAAAGUGUGUAUUGCUUUUUCCUUUGCCUUCUGAUCAAUGAAUCACAGUAUAUUUUUACUUUGCAUCUAAAGAAUAUGUGUAUCUGUAACUGCAGAUGCUUCUUGAACCUUUAAAACUUCUGAAGCAAGCAGAUGCUCAACUUAAUAUGACUCAGGGCACACUUGGAGGGGUGGGUACGUAAUAUGUUUUCAAUAUCAUAUUUUAUCCAUAUUUGCAAUGGAUGCAUUCCUUCAUCUAACUUUUACAGAAGGGUUAUAUCCACUUUUCUCUGUCAUACAAUCAGAUUGUUGGAGAAGAGCUUGGCAUCCUGCCUGGGAUGGACUCUAUCCUUUUGGUACUUGCUCUUGAGAGACUUGUGGGGUUUUUGGGGAUUGCUGCAUCAAAGAGUCAACAGGAUAAAUUUGAUUUAAUAAUAUAUGAUGGUAUCAACAGUGAGGAAACCCUGCGAAUCAUAGGUGGAAGCAGUAAAGCAAGGUUAUUGGAAUUGCCCCAUUCUUGAACUCACAUGCACACUCUUGUCAUUAUCUUUGGUUUGAUAUUGUGAUUUUCAGAUUGUACUUGAAAUAUCUCCGCACCUUGGCUGAGAAAACUGAACUUGGGAGAUUAGCUGCUCCUUCACUACUGAGACUUGUGGAUGAGGCCAUGACAAUAAGUAGCAGCAGAUCUUAUUUUAAUGGGAAAAUGAGUUCAGAAAUAUGGGACACUUUGGAUCAAAUACUGGAGGUAAGAUUAAACAUCAUUUUACCAUAAUCGUACCUUUCGCACAAAACUGUAAUUUUCUUUGUUGAUUGUGUUGCCCAGAGAGGAUCUUCUGCAUUCUUAAACCCACAUAAAUUUGGUUGCUUACUUGUGAUGGAUCCAAACUGUCCAACAUCAAUCAAUUCUGCAUUGCGAUAUUGGGGAUGUACUAUUCAGGCUGGUGCUCAGGUUUCUGGUGCUUUUGGAAUCACCUCUCAGCAAGAAAAUUUAGAAAUAUUGGAAAGAGCAAAGAAAGAAUUUUCUCCUUUGCCUUCUGCUUUCAUUUCAAGAUUGUUGAUGAAUAAUCCUAUAGAUUGGAGCAGAGUUCUACUGGAUACAGACAAUGAAGAUGCUAGGCAUCUUCUUAAUUCACUAACAAGUCAAGUUGUUAUGCCAUCUCCAGUUAGAUUUGAUGUAAAAAGAAGAUCAGUUACUCUCUUCAUGCCAGGUUUUGACAAAUCAGAUAUCAAGCUGUACCAAGUAUGUAAUGUCCUUCUCUUUUCAUGAUUUUCUUAAACCAUGAUAUUGAUGACACUCCUUUUGAAAGAAUUUAAGAGAGAAACAUUGUGUUAGGAGUUUGCUUUAAGACUCCACGUUUGUUUUCUGUUUUUUUUUUUUUUUUUUUUUAUUUCACUUUUUAAAGUAUUAUUUCAGUUUCAAGCAGUUAGGAGGAGUUACUUAAAGAGUUGGGAGAGAAACUAAAAUUUUAUUAUUACUAUUCUCUUAACCCUAAUACAUUAUACUACCCUAUUUAUAAGGGAUAGUAGUUCAACAUACAAAGGAAAAACAAAAGGUUCCUAAAAAGCCUAUUAGAAAAAUACAUUACAUUUCAACACUCCUCUUCAAAUUGGAGCAUGUAGAUCAUAUGCACCAAGCUUGGAACAUAUAAAUUGAAUUCUAGGCUCCCUUAGUGAUUUGGUCAGAAUGUCUCCGAGUUGUUCAUUAGAGUUGACAAACUCAGUAACAAGUUCCUUGAACAACAUCUUCUUUCUAAUAAAAUGAGAGUCAAUUUCUAUGUAUUUUGUUCUCUCAUGAAACAUUAGAUUGGAGACUAUAUGAAGGGUUGAUUGGUUGUUAUAGUACAGUUUCAACUACUCAUUUUCACAAAAUUUGAAUUCUUGAAGAAGUUGUUUGAUCCAAACAAGUUCGCAUGUAGUUAAAGCCAUAAAUCGGUAUUCAACUUCAGCACUAGAUCGAGCAACAAUACUUUGUUUCUUACUUUUCCAAGAUACAAGGUUUCCUCCAAAUAAAACACAGUAUCAUGUAGUAGAUCUACAACCAAUUGGAUAACCAGCUCAAUCUGCAUCACAAUAUCCUUCGAUCCGAGUGCUUCCCUUGUUCUCAUACAACAAUCGCUGUCCUAGAUUUCCUUUUACGUAUCUGAGAAUGCGAAUCACUGAAUUCCAAUGGUCAACAUGUGGAUUUUGCAUACAUUGAUUCACAACUCCCAGUGGAUAAGAAAGACUAGGUCUUGUUAUGGUAAGAUAGAUGAAUUUUCCAACCAACCUUCUAUAUCUCUUUGGGUUUGAGAAAGGUUCACCUUGAUCUCUCAUUAAGUUUUGAUUUGAGUCCAUAGGACUAUCAAUGGGCUUGCAAUUUGUCAAGUCUGUUUCCUUUAAAAUAUUAAGAGCAUAUUUCCUUUGUGAAAUGACGACACUUUCUUUUGAUUGUUACUUCAAUACCUAGAAAAUAUUUUAAAUGACCCAAAUUUUUAGUCUAAAAGUGGUUGAACAAAUGAUUCUUUAAUUGAGUAACUCUAGUGACGUCAUUCCUUGUAAUAAUAAUAUCAUCAGCAUAUGCCAUGACAUAAACACAUUUGUCAGGAGAAGAAUGAUCAUAAAACACUGAACGAUCUGCCUCACAUCGUUUUAGUCCAAAAUUUUGCACAACCCGACUAAAUUUACCAAACCAAACUCGAGGUGAUUGCUUCAAGCCAUAGAAGAAACGACAUAAUUUACAAACUAACCCAAACUCCCCCUGAGCAACAAACCCAAGAGGUUCCUCUUCUAAAUCACAAUGUAGAAAGACAUUUUUAAUGUCUAACUGGUAAAGUGGCCACUGAUUAAUGGCAGCCAUAGCAAGCAAAAUACGAAAUGUACUGGUUUUAGCCACAUGAGAAAAAGUAUCACAAUAGUCGAGGCCAUAAACUUUAGUAUAUAUCCCUUAGUUACUAGACGAUCAAUUUCACCAAUAGGACCAACUUUAAUAGCAUAAACCCAUCUAAAACCAACAUGCUUCUUACAAGAAAGAAGAGGGACAAGGUCCCAAGUGCCGUUGUGUUCAAGUGCCUUCAUUUCAUCAACCAUAGCUUGUCGCCAUCCAGGAUGAUCAAGUGCCUUAUGAAUAUUAUUAGGAACCUUAAGGGAGGAUAAGGAGGAAACAAAAGAGAAACAAGGAGUAGAUAAAUGAUGAUAACUCAAAAAAUUAUAAAUAGAAUAUGGAUUACGAGUAGAACAAAUACUUUUCUGAAGGGAAACGGGCAAAUUAUCAUCUGAGUCAAGAAAAGACGAGGAGGAUGAAGGACCCAUGGUCUGGGGAUCUGAUGGAGGAGGAUCUGAGUCUCAAGGAUCUUCAGUGUUUUGAGUUUGAGAUUGUCUUCGACCCUGAUAUGUGAGAAGAGGUGGAGGAACAAUGUCAUUUGCAUUUUGAGUUUGAGGUACAAAAGUGAGAAUAACAAAGGGAUCACAUGAUGGUAGAGGAAACAUUUGUUGAACAAAUGAACAAUCCUCCAUGGAGGACAAGAAAAAACGUGUAUCCUCAAGAAUGUGACGUCAACAGACAUAUAAUAGCUCUUGCUGGAGGGAGAAUAACAUUUAUACCCUUUUUGAAGACAAAAGUAUCCCAAGAAAACACACUUAAUAGCUUUUAUAGAGAAUUUAUCAAGACCUAGAGAAACAUUAUGGACAAAACACGUACACCCAAAUACAUGUGGGGAGACAUAAUAUAGAGUGUUAUUUGGAAAAAUGAUAGAGUGAGAAAUUUUAUUCUCAAGAGAGGAAAAAGGCAUCCUAUUGAUUAGAAAAUAGGUAGUGAGGACUGCAUAGCCCCAAUGAUGCACAAGAAUAUUAGUAUUCAACAUCAGGCAGCCUGCAAUUUCAAUGAGAUGUCUAUUCUUUCUCACUGCAAUACCAUUUUGUUGUGGAGUGUGAGGAUAUGUUGACUGAUGUAAAAUUCAUUGGGAAUAUAAAAAUGAAGAAAACGCUGCAUAAAAAUAUUGCUUAGCAUUAUCACUGGGUAGGAUUUUAAUUGUCUUCCCAAAUUGGUUCUUAAUUUCAUUAUAAAAGGACAUAAAUAUGGACAAAAGUUCAGAUCUCUCUUUCAUUAGAUAUACCUAAGUACAUUGAGAGAAUUCAUCAAUGAAGGUUACAAAAUAAUUAAACCAAACGAAGUAUCCCCAAAUAUCAGUUUGAAUAGUUGAGAAAGAAAAAUUACAUCGCUUCUCAGACCUUUUAGGAUAGGAAGAUCUAACAUGUUUUCUUAACUAACAAGACUCACAAUCUAAGACUUGAAUGUUAUUGAGACUCGAAACCAUCAUCUUCAACUUGGACAAACUUGGAUGGCCCAAAUGAUCAUGCAAAAGUUUCGGGGAUGAAGUCGUAAAACAGAAAACUGAAGAGCUAGGUUUUAAGAAAUAAAGUCCUCAAGACUCGCGUCCUUCUCCAAUCAGACUACCCGUACCAUGUUCCUGUAUAACAAAGGAAUUAGCAGUAAAGGUCACAGAACAAUUUAAGGAACAAGUCAAUUGACUCACAAAAUUUAAAUUUAGUAAAGGAGAUAAGGAAACUGCCAAUUCCCUAGGAUGCCACUUUGGAUCCAUUGGCAACGGUAAUGAAAUGAGGGAUUUUCAGAGAGGACAUGGAAGAAAAUGAAGGAAUCUUACUAGAGACAUGUUCUGAGGCACCUGAGUCAAGGAUCCAUGGACUAUGAUCUUCCACAAACUGAGAUAUGUAGGCAGUUGACAUGGAGGAAGAUUGGCCAGGAUUAGAAGAUUUUCGAGACUUGUGCCUAAAAAAUUCUUGGUACACUUCAUUUGAAAUUUUGGGUUCUAGAUCAUCAAAUUUAGAAACAUGAGCAACUUUGUCUAUAUAUCCAUGUAAGGCAUAAUCAAUUCAAUUUUCGUCUUUAGUUACAAAUUUUAAAUUGUAAUGUGUGUCAAUUUGGGAAAUUGAUUAUUACUGUAAAUAGGCUUUUAAUUGUCUUGAUUAUGCUUCUAGUAUUUGUUUAAACCUUUAACCUUCUACUUUCAGCAAGGUUUUGGUCAACUUCCUGGUAGAUAAAUUAUGAAUUUUGUAUAAUAGAUGAUGGAAUUACGUCUUGAGUUGUGCACAUUUCAUUAAAUAUCAACUAACAUUUUUUUAACUUAAUAUUUUGAUUGAAAUGUGACAAAUCCCAUACAGUGUUAUAUUCCGCUUCCCUUUCUAUCACAAAUUCUGCUCUUUACUAUGGUACAAGUUUGUGCAUAACUUAAUUCAGAAGCUGAUUGCUUUUUCUGUCUGUCUGUCUCCCUUAAAAAUGCCAAAUGCAGUAUAGGGGAGGAUCUGAGCUGUUGGUAGAAGCAGGAGACCAAAGACGUGUCAUUCCUUUGCCCUCAGAAAUUCAAGGAAAGGUUGGCGGAGCCAAAUUUGAGGAGAGAAGUGUUGUUAUUACUUUGCUGUGACUUUAUUAUUCUUUUUUAUUUUUCCUCCUUUAUGCAUGCUGAUAAUUAUCAGUGCUUGGAGGAGGCUUUCAUGUAAAAAAUAUGUGAAAUGGGGAGGUAGCCCCAUUACAGCAGAGGCAAUUCUUAGACAUUUUUUGCAUGACUUGCUUUCAUUCAGUGAUCAUGUAAUGGAACAAGAAUAGUAUAUUAUUGCUUGUUAUACAUCAACACCAUAUAUGUUUGGAGAAUGAUUAUAUUCUUGUUUAUGCCGGUGUAGGAAGCGUCUUUUUUCCCGCAUUGCAAUUUACUUGUAAUUAUAGGCCUCAAACUGUCCACCCAGAAUAAUGACGUGGAGCUCAUUGAGUAGCUGCCAGACCUAAGCAUUUGAUGACAGUAUUAAAUAUUGUUCAGUUGAAUUUCAUAUUGUACGGUAAAACCUGAAAGUAGGCAGAGGUAGGGAUCAUGUUGGGCUUCAAUUUGUCAAUUACAAUAUGAUUCUCGUAUCAUCUUUGUGUAGCAUCCAAUAUAUAUAAGCUAUGCAAAUUGAAGAAAAAUGAAAUAUACAGCUGAAAAGGCAACAUAUAUAUGGGAGAUACAGCUACAAAGGAAAAAAAAAAAAAAAAAGAGAAAAACUUCUUAUGGAUAUUCUACAUUUCUGGUUUGUUAUCUUCGGUCGCCUGAGAAUUUUGAAUGCGGCUCCUCAGGUCUUCAAAAGCCUUCAUACUCUCUCCAUCGAAGCCUCCUGCAAACUGAAAAGAGUUCCACACUACCAUUAGUGUUAUUCUGGCUAUUUAUGAAAUUUUCACCUUUUAUGCAUUUCACAAGCAUCCAUAUUAAAAUAUCUGUUUCAAACGUAUGCAAAUUCAUUUAUGAAACGUGUUACUGGAGUUGUUUUGAUGCUAGCAACUUUUCAGUAACUUUUUUUUUUUUCAGCAGAACAUUAGUGGCAUUUUUAAUGACUUUAAAGAUGUAACACAAGCUUACCAAAGAAUGCAAUGGAAUAGUACGUGUUUACUGCAAACGAAACUUGGGCCCUAGAAUUUACCUGAUGGACACGGAAAGCGAAACGCACGCCUUGAAGAAUCAAAAACUCUCUAGCCGGUUCUUUUUCUGGACCAGACAAUGCAUCAAGUUCAGAUGCAACACGUUUCAUAUACUUCCGUGCAAGUUGUACAGAAGAAAGCUUGAUCUGCAUUGGGAGUGUUAAACAAAGAGACCAUGUUAGUUGCAUCAUCCUUGCAACGUUACAAUAUUACAUUGAUGAAACCUUUAAGCAUUAACUAUUUGUCACAAGUUUUUUUUCCAUUUUCUUUUUACUCAAUAGGGAUAGCAUACUGGUAAUACAGCCAAGAUAUUUAAUAGAAAAUGAUAUUUUGACACCAAUUUUUUGACAUCAUUUUGACACGGUACACGUGUCAAAAUGUGGUUGGACGAUUACAAAUUAAAAAAAAACUUUGGUUUUUCUCUUUUAAAUAUGUCCUUUUCUCAGCUUUUUUUUAAUUUGAAAUCGUCCAACCAUCUUUUGAUACGUGUGCAGUGUCAAAAUGGUGUCAAAAAUUGGUAUCAAAAUAUCAUUUUUCAUAUUUAAUAUUGUAUUCUGAACAGUUGAAAGAAAGCAACACUCGGAUGAACCAAAACACAGUUUUAUUUGUUUUAGUAGCAUACCUUGCCUACAACUCCCGAAUCCAAUAGCCAGUUUACUGGGAUUCCAAACUCUUUGUACCGGGAAAUAGCCAUAUCUCUCGUCCGCAAGAGUGCGUAUACGCUUUGCUCCACUCUGGAAAGAAAAACAUAGCAGAUAUAAAGAAAUGAGUAGAUGAAAAGAAGUAAUGGUGUAGCUGUAGGAACUACAAGAAACCUGACAUAAUAAGGUCAUGUUCAAUAUUUUUGCGUCUUGAAAUUAUGAAUCUACAGCCUUAAAACAUAUAUAUGAAAGUUAUUUAAACAGACCUAGCUGUAUGGAUUGUGUUAUUAAUCUGUGAACUAGAUAUCCACCAAUGGUAAUCAAGAGAAAUAAUACGUAGAAGAAGCAAAGGAUGCAUACUUUUCAAGCAAUGAAUACAUUUUCUUCAGGGCAGCUUCACAUGGUAGAUUGGGAUCAUCAAUGAAUGUGGAGACUCGGUUCUCCAACUUGAUCAAAUCCUGAUAUUCAAAAGCUGCCUCCCUUAGUGCAUCUGCUUUCCCUUCAGGCCAGUCAAAGUGCUUGAGGACGGCACGUUCAUCAACCUUGCAUAAGGAAUAAAAUGAGAUGAUAAUUUUUCUAAGGAAAACAAAAUGAAGAGGUUUCUCAUAAAGUUACACUCAGGAAUAUGCAAAUACCAGGAAGGACAGUUCCUCAUCUAGCCAGUUCACAAAGGCCACCAAGUCAUUAAUAUCUGAGAAGGAGGCUGCUCGAACUUCAGCUGCCAAGGACAUGACAAAAUCACCUUGUGUUUCUACGUCAGCUUUCACCUGAUUGUUUCACAAAGGAGAAAGUUAUGCCUUUAGCUGAAAAAUGAGAAAACAAAAAUAGCAAAAUGGAUGCAAGAUUCAACAUACAGCUAGGAGGAAUGAUGAUCUAUUCUCAAUUUCCCCAAUCAUGUUGCUCCUAGCAUCAGAUGCAUUACUUGUUGUAGAAACUAAAAGUGUUGAUGUAUCUUUCUUUGCCUCCCUCUUCAUCAAUGACUGAUAAAAUUCAACUAGCUGUGGAGCUCUGUGAACUUUGUCACCAUCCAUUCCCCCUCUUGAUAGGCUUCCUGGGGGAGGAGGAGGUGGAGGUGGUCCACCUGGCGGUGGUGGUGGCCGUGGAGCCCCUGGAGGAGGAGGAGGAAUUGGAGGAGCAGAUGGUACUCCAUUGGCAGGAUUUGCAUUUGUGGUAGCAGCACCACCACCAGAUGGCUUAGGAGGAGGUCUAGGCACCCUAGUAGGCCUUUUCUCAAUUUCAGCAAGCUUCAUCUUGCUGAUAGUUUGAUCAUCAACAUUCUUCCCUUCUUCGGAUUGAUCAUUUGG
RNAcentral lists this long non-coding RNA (69623 nucleotides) under Vigna radiata. Its description in RNAcentral is "long non-coding RNA (VRAD_LNC011314)". Lineage: Eukaryota; Viridiplantae; Streptophyta; Magnoliopsida; Fabales; Fabaceae. The record is from RNAcentral.